CUCAUUAACAUCUUCCAAGUCAUCGGAUUCAGACUCACCAUCUUCCGUAAAUAUAGACAGGUCUUCAUCAUCCUGUGUCAUUACCAGGUGGACCCCGAAGCUUUUAAAACGCAGCGAAUCUUCUGCCCAAGUCGGAAAAUUAACUCGACACGCAAAAGGCGACUUCGGCCAGGUAAUCUGAUCAUCCCGGUAAAACAUUUCUCUGAACUGAAUAUAGCACAGCCACACAUGACCUGACCCUAUCUUUUUGAAAUAGUAAUUGCACUGAAUAAAAUAAGGUUCCACUCCUGGUUGAUUGAUGGAAAUUUUUGGUACAAAACCAUGGAAACGUCGUCUUUUGUUUUGGGGGUUUUCAACAGCAGCGUAUAGAGCCAAUCCUUGGUUCUGGCAUUUGAAGUUUGGAGGGAUUUGAAUCAAAAAUUUACAUGCGUUAUCACGCUCCUUCACAUCCUUAUGACAGCUGAACAACGUCGAGAAAACUUCAAAACUUGCUGGAAAUACAACCUGAAAUCCAUGUUUCUGUGAAGACAGAAGGUGAUCAAAGAAGAGAGUGAUCUGCUCCUUUGCUAAAAUGUUAUGCUUCUUUGUGAGGUCACGAGCCAGAUUGCCGCACAGUCUCUGGCAAUUACCCAAGUCCACCAACUCAAUCAUUUGUAAGUCUUUUUUACCUUUCAGAAUGUUGGACAACGAUGAAAACCUUUCCAAUGAUACGCAAUCACUCGCCCCUAACUUUACUAUUUUUGGUGGAAGUUCCGGAAUAUCUCGAAGCCUCUUGCAGCCAUGCAAGUAAAGAUCCCGCAAAUUGACAAAUUUCGUAAUGCAUUUGGGAAUACUUACAAGGAAAUCACUUCGUCUUAGAUCAAGUACGUUCAAUGUAGACACACAAUCAAGAGUCCUCAGGAAAUUAAAUUCUGAUAAAUUGUUUCCUUCCAACUUGAAUUCCGCAAGACUGGGAAGCGCUAAAGUAUGUGAUACUGGACUCCCCAAAACUUCAGACUUCACUUUAUUUGGAAAUCUAACAAGCUUUCGACUUCCUUGGAGACAAAUUUCAUUUAGAUGUUCCAACUCAUAAAUGCUGGAUGGCAGAUUCGUCAGAUUUUCACAAAUGCUUAUGUCUAAAAAUUCAAGACUGACGAGAUAUGCAAUUGACGCAGGCAAUUCUUUGAUGCCACUACCACAUAGAAACAAGUGACGUAAGGAAUCCAUCUUCCCCCCAAUUUCAGGGAAAGUCUCCAGUCUUCUGCAAUAUACAAGAUAGAGAACUUCUAGAGAUUUUGACUUGAUUAUUGGAAAUAGUGUGAGGUUAUGGCAACUCUGAAGACUCAAUUUCACAAGCUUAUCAUGAAAUCCAACAGAAGGAUGAACCUCAACUAAACUUGUGCAGUCGUCUAGAUUCAAGGACUGUAAGUUUGGAAUUCCAGAGAUAUUUGGGCUUUUUGUUAGGAAUUCACAGCUCUUAAAAUUCAUGGACGUCAAAUUUUGCAAACGCUAUAUAAGACAAAAAUAGAAAAUAAAAAGAAGGAUCAAACGGUAAGGCAUAAACAAGUUCAAGCCAUAACUCCAAAAACAUAAUAAACUUUUGAAAAUACGAAGGGAUGAAAAUAAUUUAAAUUACCUUGAAUCCCUCCCCAAGUUGUGACAAGCGGCUAUAAGGCAUAUAAAGUUCAACAAGUUUCCUUGGAUUGAAAGUAGAUGGUAAAGUUUGUAGAGGACAAUUAGGCCAAUGAAGAAACCUCAACUCAUUAGAUAGAUAAUCCACGUGAUCGCCACUAAAUCGUGCAUUCACAUUGAUGAAAAGUCGAAGGUUUUUCAUCUUUGAGAAGCUGUCACCACUCAAGCAUAUGUCAUCUGGUGUCGGAAACUUUGCUAUGAUGCCUUUAAUAUUAUUUGUUCCCUAUUAUCAAAAAGCAGUAGUGUAAACAUACAAAGCUCUUUAGCAAAUAAAAAUGCAAGUGUACACAUCACACAACAGACUUACUGUUCCUUCUGUUAGAACACGAUAAACAUCCUCGUGAAACCACAAUCUGCUACGUUCACCAGGCUCAUUUGGCGACUGUAGAUAAACUAUUCCUCUACCCAAUUCUUCAAGCAAGUCAUGCAUCCCAAUUAUGCCUCGUUCAAUAUUUAUGAGGGCCUUGUCUACGAGUACUUUAAUAGCAUACUUAGGCUUGAGGUCACAACCUUCCAGGAUCGGUAUCACAUGGUUCACCUUUCUACCGUUAAAGAAACAUGCUAUGUCAAGGAAAACUUCUUGCACUGAAUAUUCCAAUGCAUCAUAGCUUAUUUUGAGAGUUUUUUUAAUGUCCGGGUGCAGAUUCCCAUCCAAUGCAUCAUGCCACUCAUCUAUACUUCUACCACAUAGAUGAGAACCUAAAACCUUGAGAGCUAAAGGAAGACCUUGAGCAUGCUUCAGCACAGUUUCUGCAGCUUUCACAUAAUCAUCAUCCAAAUUUUUAUUUCUCCCACCAUUCCAACUAAUGAAGAGAUCAAGAGAUUCACCAAAGUUUAAUUUCUUGGCCUUAUAUAUAAUACUAACUUGAUGAGAAGUUAGCAAAUGCUUAUCUCUUGUCGUUAUGAUGAUUCUACUGCCCAAACCAAACCAAUCACAACCUCCAACUAAGUUGUUUAAUUGGUCCAAAUGAUCCACAUCAUCUACAAUUACAAGGACCUUUUUACCACUCAACCUUUCCUUUAUCACACUGAUUCCUUUAUCGGCACUGGUAACCUUUAUUUCCUUUCCCCUUAGAAUCUCAUCAAGAAGAAGAUUUUGUAGGUCGACUAGGCCUCCAUAUGGUAUUGAUCUUUCUCUUACUUUUUCCAGAAAACAACUCCCUUCAAACACAUGGGCCAGUGAGUUAUAAACAGCUUUAGCAACAGUUGUCUUUCCUAUUCCAGCAGUCCCCCAUAUUCCUACCAUGCGAACAUCAUUUCCGUCAACAUCUAAAACUUUAUGAAGAUCUCGUACACGAGCCUGUAUUCCGACUUGGUAUUUUGCCACAUUGAUAUGGGUAUCAUUUAAUACUUGUAAGGAAAUCUCGUUGACAAUGUUCUGAAUAAAUUCAGUUUCACGGCUGCCAAUUUCAAGCACAAACAACAAUUAAAUCAAAUGGGAUUUUUCUAUAUAUGUUAUAAAGAAGUGCUCGAUACUAAUGUCAAUUAUGUCAUGAAUCUAUAUAUAUAAAGCAAAAAAUAGAGAAUAAUGAAACAUUCAAAAUACCAUAAAAUGUCAUUGGUUAAUGUAAACAUUUUAACAGAAAUAUAUUGAAAAUGUCUAUUACUCUAGAGAUUUCUACCAAAUGUCCAUCACAUUUUAACAGUUAAAAUAACAGAUUCUGCAACCCUGGGAGAAAUAAAUUGAAAUUAAAGCAGAGCCUCAGAAAAGAAAAAAAUAAUAACGGAUCCUAAAUGUAUAUUAAAGACAGAAAUAUACCGCAUCAGAAAAGGAAAAAAAUAUAAAUAAUAAUAAAUAAAUAAAUAAAACAUACCCCUCCAAGUAAUGCGACCCAGACAAAUUUGCAGCUUCUGUAAGGGUUUCCUUCCAUCUCAGAACCUUCUUCAUAUUGUCCUCGAAUUUACUUUCAUCAUGGUUAGUAAGUUUCUGUUCUUUGAAUUUGCGUUCAUGGUUAUUCAGUGCCUCGCCAUAACUACCUCUUUGGUUCCUUACAUCUGAGGGAUCCACUUUGUAGAAAACUGGCCAAACCAUCUGUUGCUUUGAUUUUCUACACUGAAUGAUAUGAACAAGUUCAUCCAAGCACCACUUCGAGGAUGCAUAUUUUUCAGAGAAUACGAUGAUGGAACACCUCGAUCCUUCAAUUGCAUCAAGAAGUGCUUGUGAUAUUUCCUCUCCUCUUGGGAGCUCAUCAUCUAUGAAGGUUCUGAUGCCCCUCUGGACCAAAUUUUUGUGCAGAUGGUCUGUGAAAUUGUAGCGUGUGUCCUCACCUCUAAAGCUGAGAAACACAUCGUGGGUCCAUGAAUUGGUGAAAGAAGAAGAAGAAGAAGAAGGGGAAGGAGCUCCUAAUAAUUGAGUGGUGUCUAGAUCCAUAUUGUUGAAAAUUGAACAGGCUGAAAGGGUUGGAAAUUAUAGUGAUUUAUUGUCCGAGAGUCUCUGGUUGGCAAUGUCAGUGGGGAGACGAAUCAUGUGAGUGAAAAGUCUUCGUCUUUCUCGGCCCCAAGAGCCCCUACCUCUGCUGGGUCUCUCUAGACCCGAGGGACAGUUUUAAAUUUUUUUAAUUUUUAAUUUUAUAUAAUUAUUUAAUCAAUAAAAUAAAACUAGUUUGUUACUCUUUCAAAAGGUUUCCGUGAAUGGCGGGAAGAAGAACCACCUUCAUUAGUGGUUGAAUCCAUUUGAUUGCAGAAAAGGAUGUUGGGAAAGGCUACUUUCCUUUGUUAUAUAUUAGGUGUUUACUCAGUGCUCCGCCAUUUGCUUGUAUUAAAAAUAAAAUUAGGCCAUCCCAUCUGCGAAGUAGUUUCCUCUGUCAUUUUCAGAGUGGAUGAGAAGUCAAAAGGUGAAUAUUAUAAAACAGAAGACUGCAUUUUUGUUGCAACGUACGGUUGUUUCGCAAUUCAGAAGUAACGUAGAAGUUCGGCGUGUAGGAAAAAAAGACAAAAUGCGUAGAUGAUGAAGAUGCAUAAAAUAACCUCCUCUAAAUAUUUUGUUAGAAGACAAAACUUUGUUUCUUUUCCUUUUUUCUUAUUAUAUGACCUAAUAUUUGAAAAAUAAUAUUGAUUCCUUUAUCGACAAAAUGGCCUAAUUAUUUACAGAAUUUAAAUAAAUUUUUAUAAUAAAAAUUGAUUUUAAUCCCCACUUGAUACACGCACAUAGGACACGCUUAGGAUAUUCAUUAGGAAAUAAAAUCAAUAGGAUCCAAAAUUUGGUGUUUAUAGGAUAUAGGAUGAUAAGCUAAAUUCAAUAGUCUCAAUACGAACUCAAUAUCACUCAAACUCACUAUGCAACACAUUUCAUUCAAUUCUUUUGUGCCAAAAUAAUUGACUACUCGAACAUCUUCUAAAAGUUUCAUUACGUCCAUGGAGUAUAACUCAGUUGAUUGAGCUCUUUCACCUCCACUUAUGUGGGCAAAAGUUCGAGACACCUAGGCACCCAAUGAAUAUUUGUGUAAACCACUCUCCCCCAAUCACUUGUGCUAUAAAAAUAUAUAAAAAAAUAAUUACAAAUUCCCAUGUUUUUCUUAUCAUUUCCAUUGUUUUUUUAAUCUAGUUUUUAUCAAUAUCAAUAAUUUUUCACAGAUAUUUCCAAAUUUUUAGACCACUAAUAUUUUUGAAACUCUAAAUGCCUGUUUGGCAUUGUUUAUUUGGAGCAAAAAUCACUUUCUUAAAAAGUUUUCUUCCACCUAGCUGUUUGGUAAAUGAAAAAAUAAUCUGAUUAUAUGAAUAAUUGCUGUCAGCCACAGUGAUUUGAGGAAGCUGGUCAGGGGGUGAUUUUAUUUCCGCUUAUGCGGAAAGAGGGUGGGGAACCGGUGCUCUUUAAUGAAUGUUUUAAAAAUGCCCAGAUUAUUCUCAUUGGCUUUUGAAAAUGACAUCCACUAUCGUCUUCAUUUGAUCAUGUAUUCUUGAAUCGCUGCUUCCUCUCCUCUCACGUUACAUAGUGAGUUCAGUUCUUCUUCUUCUUCUCUUCACACCUUUCUUCUUUAAUUUGUCUCCAAGAUUCCUACAACCCCAGAUCUAAAGUUUGUUUCUUAUCUUUUUUCAUUCUGGAUUUGGGGCAGUUAGUCCUUUCUGAUGGUCCAAUCCUGAUAGUCACGUUUCUAGUUCUCAACAAAGAACAAAUCUUAAUGGUCCUUCAAAUCAACGGAUUGGAUCCAGUAUCAAUUUCAUCAUUUUGGGUUUUCAGUGCAACAGAGUGAUAAAAGGUUUUCAGUGCAACAGAGUGAACAAAUCUUAUUGUUUUCUUGUGUUUGAUGGGCUGCAAUGAAUUUGUAGGUUGUAUCCCCUGUGUUCACUCUCUUUCUGGGUUUCUCUUGUUCUAGUCCUCAUUUGCAACUUUAUCCAAAUUAUUUUUUUAUAAAUUCUCUUGUUCUAGAACACUUUUAUUUUUAAUACUCAUUCUAAACUGGUUUCCUUCAAUCCUUUUUUCCGUUUUCAAAAUCAUUGGGUUUUCAAUAAUGAAAUGCUGUAUUAAUUGACGACAAACAAAACAAAACAAAACAAUGUAGGAUCAGCCCACAUAACGCAUCUGGAAGAAAGAGGCGAAGGGUGGUCAUAAUUUCUAAAUUUACUUCACAAUAAGGAAAGGAAUGCAUAUAUGCAAGUAUGACUGUAUGAGUAGCAACGUAUAUACUCGAUGGGAAUUGGCAUUUGGUUGUUGGCCAUGGAGUUAAAUGGUGUGAACAAAAAUUACUAAUGAAGAGGCAAGAGGGCACUGAAUACUGCAAUCGUGAUAGGAAGAUUUUGGGUUGUUAUUAUAUUCAUUUGUGAAUUACAAUAGUUGAGUUUUCAAUUGAUCAUAAUAUUCAGGUUUUAGGUAUUGAAAUUAAAAAUAAUAACCUCAUGCCCUUUCUAGUCACUAUACACAGUCCAAACACUUUUACACAAAAAUUUACCAAACAUUCGUAAACUUAAUAUUGUUUCAACAUCACUUUUAACAAAAAGUUUACCAAACGCCAAAUUGAUUUAUUUCACAGCUGAUUUCUCAUAUAGCAAAUUUAACCAUGAUUAUUUUCACAGCACAGCAAUGCCAAACUGACUACCUUACUUCUUACCCAAAAAAAUUGUCCUUACUUAUUGUAAAAUUAAUGAGACAAUAACUAUUUAUAACAAAAACCAUGAUUGCACUCAUAAUAUGCAUCAAUGUACAUCACAGAUGCAAAGUAGUUUCAUGUCAUCUUCAUAGUGGAUGUGAAGUCAAAGGGAAUAAGAAAAUGGUCAAAAGGAAACAACAACCAACCACAAAAGAAAAAGAAAAAAGAAGCAUCACUACACUUUCGUUGCAACAUGGUUAUUUAACAAGUAGUUGGGGGUGUGGAAAAAAAGACAAAAGGUCGAUUGAUGAUGAAGAUGACUAAAAUAGAUCAGGAUUGUCAAAAAUAACAUCUAUAAUUGUUAGAACACAAAAUUUUGUUAUUGGCGAGUCAGUUAAUUCAUAAUGUGUCAUGCUAUUAGAUAGAAAGGUAUUCGUAUAAUGUAUGUGAGUUUAGUAAAUUAUCGCCCCUCUCAAUAAGGGCUUGCAAGUAAUGAGACACAUAACCUAAUUAAAAGACAGGAUUGUAAUUAAACCGAUAUUUUGUUGAUUAAGAAUGAAUGCAAUUUUCAAAAAUAAUAUCAUGAACCCAUUCAAAUUGAGUGAGAGGGACUUCGUCGAUCUUUUCUUCUAGCAGAUCAAACUUGUUCAGUAUCAAAAUGAAGUCUUUAUAUGGUCAAUGACUGGAUAGUGAGCGUAUGGUGGAAUGUCUAGUUUUGGGGUGGGUGGUUUCAAUUGGGUUGCCACCAAAUAUAUACUACUAGAUAGUAACUUUUGAAUUAAUGAUGCCAAGGGCUUAAAUAAGAUGGAGUAUUUAAUCAAACUUCUUGUUUCAUGAUGCUAUAGUCAAUUGUUGCAUGACUAAUACCUUUUUUUUUUUUUUUUUUUUUUUAAUUUUAUGUUUUUUCGAAAAGGCAGAUUUCAUUCCAUUAGAAAGGAGGAAUAAUGGGCAUGUAAUACAUAGCCUCGUUAAAACCUUCCCGGAGAAACCACACGUGAAAAAUCCCGGAGUAAGAAAGAGUACCACAAAUGCUGAUGAAGUACACAACAAGAAAAAUUACAUUGCAUCACUAUUCCUCCUUUUUAGUUCAAGAGGUAUCUUUUUUUUUCUUUUUUUUUGGUGGUUUUCUUUGUGCAUGCUCUUGGGAUUUAUAGUACUUUACUCUGUUGUGAUCAAUGUUAUGUCUAGAGUACCCAAUGUUAUAUAACUCCCCCAUUGUAAUUUCUAUAACUCAUAACUCGCAAGAAAGAAUUCAACCUCCCCGUAGUUUAGAAAAUAACUAUUUAAUUAAAGAUUACAAUCUGGUUUGGUUAAGUUAACUGACUAUAUAUAUAUAUAGUAGCAACGGUGCCCACGCGAUGCUACAGGUUUUAAAACCCUGUGAAAUGUAUACAAAGUCGUGAAAAUAUGUAGGAAAUAUGGUACUAUUUAUAUAGACAUGGAGAUCUAAAUAGUGGCAUCUUUGUUUUGCAAGUUUAAUACUCCCAAAGAAAAAAUUAGCCAAACUACAGACGCAAAAAUGAAUCUUAAUCAAUUCCAAAUAAUAGAGGCAGUGUUCAAACUUAGAAAGAUAGAAGAACUAAAAUUCAGAUAAUGGAGGUAAUGUUCAAACUUUGAACAUCUCUAACAUGACAUCACCAAAUCAGUAAAUAUUACACAAAAUCAGUAUAAAAACACAUGAAGACAAAAAAAAAAAUAAAAAAAGCAAAUAUUAACAACAAUAGAUCAUUACACAAUUUAGGGUGACCCUAACAACAAUUGAGGAAUUGAUUGCUUUUGUUAGAGACCAAAGCAAGUGUUUCUAAAACAGGGAAUAAGAGCAUAAAAGUUUUUGAAUGUUGGAUGCCCAUUUUUUACUUUUCCUUCCUCUUCCUCUAUUUCCCGAGAAAGCAAAUAAACAGAAUCAGCCAAAUAUCACCACAAAUCAAAUGUAUGGUAAUUAAUUAAAUGCCAAAGUAAGAAGUGCCAAAGAAUCAUUGAGCAUAAAAUAAAAAAAAACCAAAAAUCUGAGUCACCACUUGUAGAAGAUUAGCCCUUUGCUGGCAGCUCCUUUCACUUACAAACUCCUUGGUGUUCCAGUGCCACAACAACUUCAGUACUUGCUGCACAAUCCAAGCUCCUCAGUACUCGAUGCACAAUCCAAGCCCUGCAAGCUACAUUGGUAUUUGUUAUGGGUUGCCAUAAAAGGGAAUUUUCAUUUUUAAAGGUCCGUAUGUACGAAUCUAUAAAUGAGUUGCAAAACUUCCACAAAUAUCAAAUCAAACCACAGAUUAGUGGCAGCAUGUAUGUACCAAAUUGUGGCACAUCCCAUUUCAGCUCAUAAAUCGUCAAAUAAAAAAUCUAAAAUACGCAUUCAUAUCAUACAAGUUGGAAGGAUGAACCAAUAUUUUGCAAAAGCACAAAACUUUAUUAACAUCCCAACAAACCCAAAGGAUAAAAACAGAUAAUCAAAUCAAUCAUGAAAUACAGAAUUACAGACAGAAUACGCACAUAUAAGGAUGAAAUGCAACAAUUAAGACCACUCGCGCCACCCAUUUCUCUGUAAUUGAUCUUUCGCUUUUUCAUUGUCAAUCCAACAUACUUUUAAAUCUUUACCAAUCAAAUUUUACGUCUCCAAUUCAACCGGGCAUUUCGAGGGGAUGCCUCUGACGCAGCCUCCUUCACAUCUGCCACCAAAGCCAAACAUCAAACCUCAAUUAAUUCACAAACCCAGAAACCAACCCAACCCAAAUUACAUAGGGCAGAUAGAUAAAGAAGCAGGAUGAAGCAAAAUGAUAAUAAUUGGUCAAACAGAACCCAACAUGCACAAAAGCUUCAAAUGUCCAAAGCUCCAAAAACAAAACAUAAUAAUAAUAACCCGAAUUGGGCAAACCAAGUUCUACUCAGUAGUGGGUGGCUCUUGUGGGGAAGAAGAUGAAGCUUCAUCUGCAUAAGAGACCAAUGUACACAGUGGGCUUGCGUUUCACGUCCCAUGGCUGCGUUUUGCGAGGCCGAGUCUUCCUGUGAUGCGCAGUGGCCUUCUUCUGUGGCCUCGACGAACACUCAAUCAUCAACCCAGUACCUCCACCAACUGAGCCGCGCAAUGGGGAUGUCUUUGGGACCCCAAACGACUCGAUCGCAGAUGGGUUCUUCACGGCCACACCCAUAGCCACCAAUUGAGGCCCCAACACAGCUUCAGUUCUCACAGUGAGAAAAAGACGAUGGAAUUGGGUUUUCCUUCUCUCAGCGACUCCGACGAAGAGGAGAGAAUAGCGCUGGAGGGCAAAACGGCUAAUUCACUGCUCAUAAGUCAACUCAAGGAAGCAGACCAUCACUUAAGCGGGGGCAAAACCGUCACUUCGCUAUUCCCAAGCUACAGUCCAGGAACAAUGACUCUGGGAUCAGUUUUAGUAUAUAUAUAAUUUAUAAAUAAAUAAAAAGAACUUGUGUAUUUUGUUUCUUUGUUUGUUAAAAAAUAAUGGGAGAUAUUAUUGGCACCCCAUUAUUUGCUCUUUGCACCCCAUAUUAAUUUUAAACAUGAAUAAUUUAUUUAACCUUCGUACAUAAUUACCGUUAAGGACAAAAAGCAUUUAUAAUAAAAAUUAAAUUUGCUCACUACACCCCAUGUAUGUUCCUGCAACUCUAGUUAGAAUUUUUUUCUUAAACCAUCAUGUUCCUACAAUCCUAAUGAGCUUUAUACGCUUAUAUUGGUGAAAAAUAUAUUGUAUUUAUUCAUGAAGGGUGAGAUUGAAGUUAGAGAGGCUUCGAAUGAGUUAUGAGUUUAUUUUUUGGCCUUUUUCAAGCUUGGGAUUUCUUGAUGGUUCGCUAGUUGCGUUUAGCAAACCAGUACCGAACGCGAUAGGUAAAUUCGGUGGGAUGCCACCGAAACAUUGCACCUAUUUUGGUUGCGUUUGACUGGCCGUUAACUUCAGAUGCAGUGGAGAUCCACCAUAAUAUAAACGGUGUUCGGUGGUUUAUUACAGAAUUUUUACCUACAAUUCAGUGGCAACGAACCGAAAUAUAUUUAUUUUUUCAGUAACUUAUUGUCGACCACAAAUUUAAUAUAAGCUAUUUUGACCUUACUCCCAUUGAAGGAACAAAAACAAGAUGACGCCCUUAAAAUAGAUGACACAUCAUCAAAUGUGAUGGUCAUCUCACUAAAAGGCAUGUGAAAGAUGUUCGUUUCAAGAUGCCAUCUCUCAAUAAAGGUAGAUAUAACAAUCUUAUCUGCAUUCCGAUAAGAACACUAAAUAAGUUGCUCCAAUCCAUACCUCUAAAUGUACCAUUUGAAUAUACCAUUAUUUGGAUUAGCCCUCCAAUUUCACUAAUGAAGGAUAGAUGUCUUCGACAUGCACCUAAGGUGCUCACAUUCCUAGUAAAAAACAAUAUUAAGUACAAACUCAAUAACGAAUUCAGUAGAUGAUCACUGAAACAAGAAACGAAUUCACGGAAACAAAAAAUGAAUUCAGUUGACUACUACUGAAAAACAUAAACAUAUUCAAUAGACUGUCACUAAAAAACUGAAACAGAUUAUGUGAACUACUAUUGAAAAACGUAAACACAUUCGGUGGGUAGCUACUGAAAAUAGAAAACAAAUUCGAUGGACUACCGUUGAACAAGGUAACGAUUUUAGUGGGGUUUACACAGGUAAGUUAGGGAAUGGGGUUCAUGAGGGCAAUCUAGGAAGAAAAAUGAGGUGUAUUGAGUAAUUUUAAAAUUUCCUAAAAUUCAGUGGGGUGUAAGGAGAAUAUGAGGUGGAAAGAGCAAAUGUUAGAGUGCCAAUAAAAUCAUCCAAAAAUAAUAUAUGGUUUAAUGGGUUGUCCUGUUAAGGGAAAGCUUGGAGGCAAUAAUUUAAACUUUUGGAAAAACAAUAAUCCCAAAUGUAAGAACAAUUCAUCCACUAAUAGCUUGCAAAAUUAUAAUUUAAAUGGAAAAACAAAAAACAAAUGCACUAGUAAUAAGUUAAUGUAUCUACUAAACUUAAUUACAUGGAGGCAAUCUAAUGGAUCACUAGUGAUUUUUUAGUCAAAACAACCUAGUUAUAUAUAAUUACUGAAAAAAAUAAUCUCAUUUUUCACGGCCCAAGAACGGGCAAGGGUCCUUCAAUAAGUUAAACAUGUUUACAAGGUGUCACCAAAGCACAAAACGGUCCAUAAGCAAACGAACUGUGGCCUCUGAAAGACUAGAGGAAUCCAAGUCCCUCUGAAUCUGAACCAUUCUGCUGCUCUCUUUUCUUGCUUCUUUCAACACUUGCUGUUGUUCUUCAACCUCAUCAUCACCUUCUCCUUGUUUUCCCUUUGAUGAAAACACCAGUCGCUUCUUAGCCCCUACCUUGUCUUUCAGCUUUGCCAACUCGCUCAUCCAAACCUCCACCACUGCAGACAUGCUUGAACUUGAAAACAUGAAAACUGGCUUGGUCUUGACUCUUUGAGUUUGAUCAAGGAUGAUGGGGAGAGCUGGCUAUUAUGCUUGUUGGGUUAUAUAGAAGAGAGAGAGAGAGAGAGAGAGAGAGAGAGAGAGGGCCUUGCCCUUCAUGUGGCUUGGAUUGGAUGAAAAAUCAGUGUGUCACAGACAGCCGUUGGUUAUAGGCUCGCACACAGGAUUUAGUUUUAGGAAUAUUCCAGAGAGAGAGAGAGAGAGAGAGAGAGAGAGAGAGAGUACAAAGUGGGGUAUGAGUUUUGUUGAGUGAAUGAAAAGCUUCCCAGUGGGCGCACGGAACUCUCUUCUUUAGAUUGUGGGCGACUUGGCAUAUUACUAUUCAUCAAUAGUAUCCAUUGCAUCUUAGUUUUUCUUUUGUCUUAUUCCAACAUUGCAAAUCUCUCUUCCGGGUCAACCACCUCUUCAUCAUCAUCUUCAGUAAAAGUAGCCAUCUUCAUUAUCUUCACAGCUGAAGUAGUCAUGUUCCGAGUCUUGCUCAUCUUCACAUAGAUCAACACCUGAUUCAGACUCAUCGGAUUCAGACCUGUCAUUAGCAUCUUCCAAGUCAUCGGAUUCAGACUCACCAUCUUCCGUAAAUAUAGACAGGUCGUCAUCAUCCUGUGUCAUUACCAGGUGGACCCCGAAGCUAUUAAAACGCAGCGAAUCUUGUGUCAAAUUCUGAAAAUUAACUUGACACGCAAAAGGCGACUGCGGCCAGGUAAUCUGAUCAUCCCGGUAAAACAUUUCUCUGAAUCGAAUAUAGCACAGCCACACAUGACCUGACCCUAUCUUUCUGAAAUGGUAAUCGAACUGAAUAUAAUGAGGUACCACUUCUGGUUGAUUGACGGAAAUUUUUGUUAGAAAACCAUGGUAACGUCGUCUUUUAUUUUGCGGGUUUUCAACAGCAGCAUAUAGAGCCAAUCCUUGGUUCUGGCAUUUGAAGUUUGGAGGGAUUUCAAUCAAAAGUUCACAUGCUUCAUCACGCUCCUUCACAUCGUUAUGACAGCUGAACAACGUCGAGAGAGCUUCAAAACUUGCUGGAAAUACAACCUGAAAUCCAUGUUUCUGUGAAGACAGAAGGUGAUCAAAGAAGAGUGUGAUCUGCUCCUUUGGUAGAAUGUUUGGUUUCUUUGGGAGGUCACGAGCCAGAUUGCCGCACAGUCUCUGGCAAUUACACAAGUCCACCAACUCAAUCAUUUGUGAGUCUUUUUUACCUUUCAGAAUGUUGGACAAUGAUGAAAACCUUUCCAAUGAUAUGCAAUCACUCGCCUCUAACUUUACUAUUUUUGGUGGAAGUUCCGGAAUAUCUUGAAGCCUCUUGCAGCCAUGCAAGUAAAGCUCCCGCAAAUUGACAAAUUUCAUAAUGCAUACGGGAAUACUUACAAGGAAAUCACUUCUUGUUAGAUCAAGUGCACUCAAUGUAGACACACAAUCAAGAGUUCUGAGGAAAUUAAUUUCUGAUAAAUUGCUUCCUUCCAAAGUGAAUGCCUCAAGUCUGGGAAGCGCUAAAGGAUGUGAUACUGCACUCCCCAAAACUUCAGACUUCACUUUAUUUGGAAAUGUAACAAGCUUUCGACUUCCUUGGAGACAAACGUGGUUUAGAUGUUCCAACUCAUAAAUGCUGGGUGGCAGAUUCGUAAGAUUUUCACGAUUCCUUAGGUCUAAAAAUUCAAGACUGAUGAGAUAUGCAAUUGAUGCAGGCAAUUCUUUGAAGCCACUACCAGAUAGAAACAUGCAACGUAAGGAAUCCAUCUUUCCCCCAAUUUCAGGGAAAGUCUCCAGUCUUCUGCAAUCUUCAAGAUUGAGAACUUGUAGAGAUUUUGACUGGAUUAUUGGAAAUAGUGUGAGGUUAUAGCAUCUCACAAGACUCAAGUCAACAAGCUUAUCAUGAAAUCCAACAGAAGGAUGAACCUCAACUAAACUCGUGCAGUCGUCCAGAUUCAAGGACUGUAAGUUUGGAAUUCCAGAGAUAUUUGGGGUUUUUGUUAGGAAUUCACAGCUCUCAAAAUUCAUGGACUUCAAAUUUUGCAAACGCUAUAUGAGACAAAAAUAGAAAAGAAAAAGAAGGAUCAAACGAUAAGGCAUAAACAAGUGCAAGCCAUAACUCCAAAAACUUAAUAAACUUUUGAAAAUACGAAGGGAUGAAAAUAAUUUAAAUUACCUUGAAUCCCUCCCCAAGUUGUGACAAGCGGCUACAAGGCAUAUAAAGUUCAACAAGUUUACUUGGAUUGAAAGUAGAUGGUAAAGUUUGUAGAGGACAAUCAGGCCAAUGAAGAAACCUCAACUCAUUAGAUAGAUAAUCCACGUGAUCACCAUAAAAUCGUGCAUUCACAUUGAUGAAAAGUCGAAGGUUUUUCAUCUCUGAGAAGCUGUCACCACUCAAGCAUAUGUCAUCUGGUGUCGGAAACUUUGCUAUGAUGCCUUUAAUAUUGUUUGUUCCCUAUUAUCAAAAAGCAGUAGUGUUAACAUACAAAGCUCUUUAGCAAAUAAAAAUGCAAGUGUACACAUCACACACACAGACUUACUGUUCCUUCUGUUAGAACACGAUAAACAUCCUCGUGAAACCACAAUCUGCUACGUUCACCAGGCUCAUCUGGCGACUCUUGAUAAACUAUUCCUCUACCCAAUUCUUCAAGCAAGUCAUGCAUCCCAAUUAUGCCUUGUUCAAUAUUUAUGAGGGCCUUGUCUACGAGUACUUUAAUAGCAUACUUAGGCUUGAGGUCACAACCUUCCAGGAUCGGUAUCACAUGGUUCACCUUUCUACCGUUAAAGAAACAUGCUAUAUCAAGGAAGACUUCUUGCACCGAAUAUUCCAAUGCAUCAUAGCUUAUUUUGAGAGUUUUUUUAAUGUCCGAGUGCAGAUUCCCAUCCAAUGCAUCAUGCCACUCAUCUAUACUUCUACCACAUAGAUGGGAACCUAAAACCUUGAGAGCUAAAGGAAGACCUUGAGCAUGCUUCACCACAGUUUCUGCAGCUUUCACAUAAUCAUCAUCCAAAUUUUUAUUUCUCCCACCAUUCCAACUAAUGAAGAGAUCAAGAGAUUCACCAAAGUUUAAUUUCUUGGCCUUGUAUAUAAUACUAACUUGAUGAGAUCUUAGCAAAUGCUUAUCUCUUGUCGUUAUGAUAAUUCUACUGCCCAAACCAAACCAAUCACAACCUCCAACUAAGUUGUUUAAUUGGUCCAAAUGAUCCACAUCAUCUACAAUUACAAGGACCUUUUUACCACUCAACCUUUCCUUUAUCACACUGAUUCCUUUAUCGGCACUGGUAACCUUUAUUUCCUUUCCUCUUAGAAUCUCAUAAAGAAGAAGAUUUUGUAGGUCGACUAGGCCUCCAUAUGGUAUUGAUCUUUCUCUUACAUUUUCCAGAAAACAACUCCCUUCAAACACAUGGGCCAGUGAGUUAUAAACAGCUUUAGCAACAGUUGUCUUUCCUAUUCCACCAUUCCCCCAUAUUCCUACCAUGCGAACAUCAUUUCUGUCAACGUCUAAAACUUUACGAAUAUCUAGUACACGAGCCUCUAUUCCAACUUGGUAUUUUGCCACAUUGAUAUGGGUAUCCUUUAAUACUUGUAAGGAAAUCUCGUUGACAAUGUUCUGAAUAAAUUCAGUUUCAGGGCUGCCAAUUUUAAGCACAAACAACAUUUAAAUAAAAUGGGAUUUUUCUAUAUAUGUUUUAAAGAAGUGCUCGACUCGAUACUAGUGUAAAUUAUGUCGUGAAUUUUAGAUGAUGGAGUUACUACAUCAUGAUAUUUGAUAUGUCUAGACACUUCUUCUUAUUAAAAUCUCGGUUUAUUAGUUAAAAGUUGGACUCAACAUCCAUAACUGUCUUACAUUUAUCAAGAAGAAUAAUUAAAUGAGGGUUUUAUAAUCAACAUAAGGAAGAGCUGUUUGGUAGGUAUCUAAGACUAAUAAAUUAAUUAAGUAUUUUGUUCUUGGAAAUUAUGUAAUUUAUGGACAACAUUUUAUAUAUGUUUGUUGCAUGUUAUCAUAUACCAUAGGCUUAAUUUUUUCAAAUCCUCUAGGUGUGGGAUUGCCCUGGAGAGAGAGAGAGAGAGAGAGAGAGAGAGAGAGAGAGAGAGAGAGAGAGAGAGAGAGAGAGAGAGAGAGAGAGAGAGAGAGAGAGAGAGAGGUGGUGGAUGGGAUAGAGGAAGGUGGAGGGAGGGUCAUAAGAGAGGCGUGAGUGCGGCUGUUUAUGGCAGGGAUGGGUUGAUUUGAGAACUUAUUAUUUUUUUCACAAUAUUAAACCCAAAUAAAUAAGUUAGGGAAAGUACAUCAAACAUGGUUUUCUUCUUCUGUCUUACACUCCCCUUCUAUUUUCUUACUCUAUCGUUUAAUCGCUCUUCUCGAUUUCUCCUUACUAAACAAUUGUUUAUCAAACAUGUUACUAUUGUAAUAGAUUUUGAUGUUGUCUUUUGUCUAUUUUUGCUCAUUUUGCUUCAAGAUCUUGAAUUUGUCGUUUGGUGGUUGACAAAUGAAGUGCAGAAAAUAUAUCUAAUCUGUAGUUUCUAUUCAUUUUCAGUACUUUUGAUUGCAUAUCUUGAAUUUAUAUUGUUUGAUGGCUGAGAACAUGAGGGAAAAACAAACAAUUAGAAAAUUCAUGAACAAGCUAUGAUGUUAGGGAAAGCUUGUGAUGGAAUGGACACUACGAUAACAAUAGAAGAGAUUGGUUUUCGUAACAGAGUGAUUUUAUUAGAAAGGAGAGAUGUACACUGCUUGCUUGGUGUAGAACUAUGAGGCUAUUAAUAAUGUAGCUAUUGGUUGGCUAAUUGGCCUUUCAGUGAUGUAACUAUUUGCUACUUAGUGGGUUUGUAAGAUUGCAGGAUUUCAUCCAACACAAAAAAUAAAGGACUGCAGGAUUCCACUGGCAUAUUACACAAAGCCUUGUAAUCUCCUCUGUUUCUAUUAGAUUGUGUGAGGCUUAGAUAUAAGAAUAGUGUUUGGCUUUCUAGUAGAUUUCUUAGUUACAAUUCACAUUACAACACUUCAAUCCUAUUUAUUGGCAAUGUUUUCCGGCAAGUUUGCCGACUUGACCAACCACCAUGUCUACUACUUGGCUUUAUCAAAUAUUAUCAGCCACAUAAGCUGCAGCUUGCUCUAGACUGGAGCAUUCUACAAAACUCCUUAUAUGUUUGUGGCUAUUUGUUUAGCCGGCAAAGUUCACCGACUUGGUCAUUUAGUCCAGUAGCUACCCUCUUCUAGAUUCUACUACAAUUAUCUUAGAUAUCUGAUAGCUAUUGUAGCACUUUGGGAUUCUAAAUUAUUACUCUAGAGAUUUCUACCAAAUGUCCAUCACAUUUUAACAGUUAAAAUAACAGAUUCUGCAACCCUGGGAGAAAUAAAUUGAAAUUAAGGCAGAGCCUCCUGAUCCUAAAUGUAUAUUAAAGAUAGAAAUAUACCGCAUUCAGAAAAGAAAAAAAACAUACCCCUCCAAGUAAUGCGACCCAGACAAAUUUGCAGCUUCUGUAAGGGUUUCCUUCCAUCUCAGCACCUUCUUCAUAUUGUCCUCGAAUUUACUUUCAUCAUGGUUAGUAAGUCUCUGUUCUUUGAAUUUGCGUUCAUGGUUAUUCAGUGCCUCGCCAUAACUACCUCUUUGGUUCCUUACAUCUGAGGGAUCCACUUUGUAGAAAACUGGCCAAACCAUCUGUUGCUUUGAUUUUCUACACUGAAUGAUAUGAACAAGUUCAUCCAAGCACCACUUCGAGGAUGCAUAGUUUUCAGAGAAUACGAUGAUGGAACACCUCGAUCCUUCAAUUGCAUCAAGAAGUGCUUGUGAUAUUUCUUCUCCUCUUGGGAGCUCAUCAUCUAUGAAGGUUCUGAUGCCCCUCUGGACCAAAUUUUUGUGUAGAUGGUCUGUGAAAUUGUAGCGUGUGUCCUCACCUCUAAAGCUGAGAAACACAUCGUGUGUCCAUGAAUUGGUGAAAGAAGAAGAAGAAGAAGGGGAAGGAGCUCCUAAUAAUUGAGUGGUGCUUAGAUCCAUAUUGUUGAAAAUUGAACAGGCUGAAAGGGUUGGAAAUUAUGGUGAUUUAUUGUCCAAGAGUUUCUGGUUGGCAAUGUCAGUGGAGAGAAGAAACAUGCGAGUGAAAAAUCUUGGUCUUUCUGGGCCCCAAGAGCUCCUACCCCUGCUGGGUCUCUCUAGACCCGAGGGACAGUUUAACCAAAAAUAAACGUAGUAAUAAUAACACACUGGUAACAGCACUCUCACCCAAUUGUCAUGACAAAUAGCAAGGGCUGUUACUAUUUAUGCAAAAUUGGUCAAAGAAAGUAUUCGGUACUCUGUCAUUAAGACAAUUUACGCCCCACUACAUUGCUCAUGGUUGCGUUUGUCUCCUAAAAUACAACCACCACUUACAAUUGUAACUUUUUUCAUUUUACAUUUCAAACUUCAAAUCCAGUCGGCAAUUAGACCAGUAUUAACUAGUACAUGCAGUUACAUAAAAAUUUGAAUGCAAACCCUUUGUGUCUAGAAACAAUUCUGCACUAAAAAUAGUUUUCAGUUCAACAUUGGUCGUGUGUGUUUAUUUUCUUGUCUCACCACAACAACUUCCAAAACCACAGCAAAGCUAGCUGCAGUCAUUUUGUCACAAAAUUGUUCGUUUGUUAAAAAUAGUUUAUGGUUUAAUGGUUUGUUCUGUUAAGGGAAAGCUUGGUUGCAAUAAUUAAACUUUUGGUUUAUAUAUAAUUCCUUUAAAUCCAAAUGUAAGAACCAUUAAUUCAUCCGCUAAUAGCUUGCAAAAAUUGAUUAAAAUGGAAAAACAAAAAACAAAUACACAUCAAAUUAAUAGUACAGUUAUAUAUAUGCAAGAUUAGACUAAUAUUUUAAACAUGUUUACAAGGUGUUCACCAAGGCACAAAACGGUCCAUAAGCAAACAGACUGUGGCCUCUGAAAGCGUAGAGGAAUCCAAGUCCCUCUGAAUCUGAGCCAUUCUGCUGCUCUCUUUUCUUGCUUCUUUCAACACUUGUUCUUCUUCAACCUCAUCAUCACCCUCUCCUUGUUUGCCCUUUGAUGAAAACACCAUUCGCUUCUUAGCUCCUACCUUGUCUUUCAGCUUUGCAAACUCGCUCAUCCAAACCUCCACCACUGCAGACAUAAUUGAACUACUUGAAAACUUGAAAUUAUUGCUUGGUCUUGACUCUUGAGUUUGAUCAAGGAUGAUGAGGAGAGCUGGCUAUUAUGCUUGUUGGGUUAUAUAGAAGACAGAGAGAGAGAGAGAAAGAAAGAGGGCCUUGCCCUUCAUGUGGUUUGGAUUGGAUGAAAAAUAAGUGUGUCACAGCCGUUGGAUAUAGGUUCGCACACAGGAUUUAGUUUUAGGAAUAUUCGUUGGAGAGAGAGAGAGAGAGAGAGAGCAGAAGUGGGGUAUGAGUUUUGUGGAGUGAAUGAAAAGCUUCUCCGUGGGCGUGUGUCCUCACCUCUAAAACUGAGAAACACAUCGUGGGUCCAUGAAUUGGUGAAAGAAGAAGAAGAAGAAGGGGAAGGAGCUCCUAAUAAUUGAGUGGUGUCUAGAUCCAUAUUGUUGAAAAUUGAACAGGCUGAAAGGGUUGGAAAUUAUAGUGAUUUAUUGUCCAAGAGUCUCUGGUUGGCAAUGUCAGUGGGCAGAAGAAUCAUGUGAGUGAAAAGUCUUCGUCUAUGUGGGCCCCAAGAGCCCCUACCUCUGCUGGGUCUCUCCAAUCUAGGAGAAAUUAUAGAGUAGUACCGUAUCACCACGUCAGCUGGUGAUACUUCCACUCAAAAUAUGCCAUGUGUAAUUUUUUAAAAUUAAUUAUUCUUCAUUACAGCUGGACUUUAUUUUUAUCCGCUGAAAUAAAUUAGAAAAAUAAAAAACUUAAAAAAAAAAAGAGAGAAUAUCCCAGCAACCCAACCCUUACCCCCACGCCACCCCUCUGUCGUCGUCUUCCGACUGCCAUCAACAGUCAUUAGUAAGAGAGCCAAAUCCCCACAGCCUAAUAAAUUUUUGCAACAAGGAAACUUCAUCAUCAUUGUCAAUGAAUGUUAAUAUAUGAUGGAGUUUAUUAGAUCCAAUAUAAUACCCAACACAAUCAACCCUUUCCAUAUCAAUUUCAUGCUGGUCGAUUUGUAGCCUGUUUGUUAUAGACCCACCUCCCAUCCCAACCUUCUUCACAUCUGCUAGUGAGACCUUCAUCAAUGAAAAAAUAUAUAUGGAUCUUGGGGUAGUCACCAAAAGGUUGAGAAAGUUGAAGAACGGCAACAGAGAGAGAGAGAGAGAGAGAAAUAAAUAAAAGAGAGGGACGGGGCGGCGACCAGAGCGGCGGUGCGAGGUAGGCAUGUUGGGGGUAGGCUGUGGCUAUGCUCUUUUUUUUUCCAUUGUUUAUUUUCUUAAUUUUAUUUUAAAGGGUAAAAAUUAGGUUAAUGUCCAGUUGUAAAAUAAAGUUUGAGUUGUUAAAAAAUAAAGACACAUGUCAUAUUUUGAGUGGGAAUAUCACCAGCUGACGUGGUGAUACGGUACUACUCUAUAAUUUCUCCCAAUCUAGACCCGAGGGACAGUUUUAAUUUUAUAUGAUUAUUUAUAAUUCCAACAGCUAUAUUUUAUAAUUAUCUUUUUGUUUUGCUUUCUCUUUUCGUUAUAUUUUCUUCUUUUUAUUUAUAAUUAUUGUUUAUCUUUAUUAAUGAUUGUCGUUUAUUUUUUCAAAUUCAAUGAUAAAUCACAUAAUUCAGGUCCUUUAGAAAACUACUUUCAGGUCCUUUUCACUAAUAACCAAAAUAAAUACAACCAAAUUAAUAAAUGGCUUGGCAUGAGGAGUUUAUGGCAUGGGAGCUAAGCUUUCACAAGUUUAGCAAUUUAAGAAAGAGAAAGCAUGAGUUUCUUGCAUAAUACAAAGAUCAAAAUGGGGCAGAAGAAAAUUAGGAGGAUUCCUAUCUUAGGGAAAGAAGAAAACAGCGAGAGAAGAAGAUUGGGUGGCUUGAGUAAAUUCUCAGUUGCUUGACAAAGCUUGGUCAGGCUCUGGAUGAUGAUUUUGCUGGGUAAUGAGCCCUUUGUGGUUCCAAGGGUUUGACGCAGCUGGACCUCCUCAUGAAGGUGAGGCGCACUUGCUUUCCUUCUUGGUUUUCAAAACGGAGCUAACAGAGGAAAAGAAAACAGGUAUAGUCUUUUGCCCGGUGGGUACUUUCCUUACAUACAUGGAUUUCCUUUGGUUCCUGCUAUGGCUUCCCAUUGACUGUCUUGAAGCUUUGACAAAGAUGGAGCACGAUGUCAGAUUUUUAUAAGGCGUUGGGCUGGGCUUGUGUGUACAGUGUUGGGUUAUUAACGUAUUAUCUCCAGCAUCUAAUGGGUUUUCAUCAAGCUGCCGGAAAUAGCUUACUUAUCUUAGGCAUUUUUACUGAUGUAGGUUUAUCUAAGUGUCAUAAUAGGUUACUAGAUGUCCUCCUAAGGCAUUGGACCAUUCUUUUCUCCUUCUUUCAUGCUAACCCAUGUAUUUGGGCCUGAAGAAUGGGCCUGAGUUUUAAUACUCCCAAGUAGCUUAAAACUUUCAUUCCUCGAACCCUCAAUGGGCCCUGUGAUUGCUUGUUUCCUUCCAUACCACAACAUUCUCAGCAAGCCCCGGGUAAUUUUGUGGCUUGGACUCACUUAAGCUUGUGGCACAGCUUGGUAUUAGAAUAGUGGUCCUUUGCACGGCAUUUAUUUAACAUGCUUGCAUUUGAGUUUUUAUCAUGCCGUGAUAGGCUAUAAUUGGGCCAAGUAACACUGGAUGGGUAGAUGAGCAUGAUUUUGUGGAGCCGGUAUGCUCUUGACCCCUUUUGUGCAUGCUUGCUUGGUAUGACACGUGAAUUGUGGCUUGCAUUGAUGCGUCCUUCAAAUUCUCUUUUGUUCCGAUCGGGCUCCUUUUGCAUUCAAUCUCUCUGUGUUAGGCCAGAAAUUGAUCUGGGCCUAGCUCCUUGAAUUUCUAGGCCUCAACAAAUGCAAAUCCUUUGUGACUAAAAACAAUUCUGCACUAAAAUUUUUGAAAAAUAAUAUCGAUGCCUUUAUCAACAAAAUGGCCUAAUUCACAGAAUUUAGGUAAAUUUUAAACAAAAAUUGAUUAAAAAAACCAGAGAAAUGCCAUCAUAUUUUAAUCCCCACUAGAUACAUGCACAUAAGACGCGCUUAGGAUAUUCAUUCGGAUAUAAAAUCAAUAGGAUCCAAAAUUUGGUGUUUAUCAGAUUUAGGAUGAUAAGCUAAAUUUGAUAGUCUCAAUACGACUUGAAUUGAAUUCGGUAAUCUUAUUAUAAUUCACAUUGUUUGUUAACUUGUAAUAUAAUCACCUUAAAUCACUCAAACUCACUAUGCAACACAUUUCAUUCAAUUCUUUUGUGUCAAAAUAAUUGACUACUUGAACAUCUUUUAAAAGUUUCAUUACGUCAAUGGGGUAUAACUCAGUUGACUAAGCUCUUCCACCUCCACUCAUGUAGGCAAAAGUUCGAGACACUCAGGCACCUAAUGAAUAUUUGUGUAAACCACCCCCCCAAUCACUUGUACUAUAUAAAAAAAUUCAUUACAAAUUUUCAUGUUUUUCUUAUCAUUUCCAUUAUUUUUAAAAAAAAAAUCUAGUUUUUAUCAAUAUCGAAAAUUUUUCACGUAUAUAUAUUUCCAAAUUUUUAGACCACAAAUAUUUUUGAAACCAUCGAUAUUUAGUACCUUACUUCUUACCAAAAAACUUUCUGUAAGGAUUGUAUUUUGACAUGUUUGUUGUUUGGCUCUUCUCUUGUAUUUCACAAAACCAUUGUAUUAAUUCUUGUUAUAGACUAGAGGUUGUGUCUGAAAUAGAUUGAAGAUAAAUUCGAGUCCUCACGUUGCUGCCAAAGGUAAAUCUCACAUGCAUUCUCACUGGAUUAAUACAUGUUCACGUGUAUUAAUCCAACAUUCAUUCUUACGUGUUUGCUGCAACAUUUCUCUUUAUUUCAGCUUUGACAGACUUUCUUAAAACUCUGUCUACAAAAGGAAUAAUUCUAUCUUUGGUGGUGGUGUCUUGAGCCGCUCCCAUGCUAAAAGUCUGGAGCUUGAAAAAACAGUGUGAUUUUCAAAAGCUCUAUAUAUAUAUUCUUCUAGACAGAGUUGCAAAAACAACUUUUUGACUCAUGCAUUUUUAAUAGAUGACUUAUGCCUUCUUUCUAGAUAUACUCUGGACAUGAAAACCGAGAGGGAAUAAAACUCUGAAAAGAGUUUGCCUUCAGCCAAAGUUCAUAUCCUGAGGGUUAUGAGAAUGAUUGCAUUCACAUAAAUGCUUCCCCAAGAUGACUUUAAAGCUUUAAUGGCUGGCUGUUUUUUCUUCACUUCAAUCUUCUUUAAUGUUUCAGCUAGUAUAUGUUACUUGAGAGUAUACGAUUGAUAGUAUACAUAUAACCUUCUCCGUGUAUACAUUUACAAGAUUGCGGCUGCAAACCUUUUCUUUGUUGUUGUUAUGUUGAAUUAAACUACAUGCUUCAAGUACUUUACUUCUAGUUUAUUCUUCACGACACUUAGGUUUCAUUUGUCUAGCUCAAUUAUUCUCUGUGAUUGAGAUAGAUGAAUCUUGAAAUCAUGACUCACCUCAUACAUCAAAAUUACAUACAACUAGAGCUUGGUGCUCUUGAGAGGAUUUGCUGCUACGAGAUAAAGAAAAGGUGCUUGUUGAAAGGUUGAUUGAAGCUGCCUAUAGGUGAUAGAUUGAGCUAAGUCUUCUUUCAUUUUUCUUGUAUUUCUUAAUGAGUGGAUUGGAUCUCUCCUGAUUUGGUGCUCCCAGUUUUUCACCUACUUGGGUUUUCUGGGUCAACAACUCCUGUGUGUCGUUUACUUUCAGCUGUUAAUUGUCUUCCCUUAUUAAUCACAUAAUUGUUUGUAUGUGUAUGUGUACGACUUAACAGAACUUUUUAAAAUUGGUAGGUCUUUGACCGGUAGCCUACUUCACCCCCCUUUGUAGGCUCUUAGAGCUUAGGGUUUGGUUUUACACGUUCCUUAUUUAUUGUAAAAUUAAUGAGACUAACUAUUUAUAACAAAAGCCAUAAUUUCACUCAUAAUAAGCAUCAAUAUACAUUACAGAUGCGAAGUAUUUUCCUGUCAUCUUCAUAGUGGAUGUGAAGUCAAAGGAAAUAAGAAAAUGGUCAAAAGGAAACACCGACAAACCACAAAAUGAAAAAGAAAAAAGAAGCAUCAAUACACUUUCGUUGCAACAUUGGUGUUUACCAAGUAGUUGGGGUGUGGAAAAAAAAGAAGACAAAAGGUCGAUUGUUGAUGAAGUUGACUGAAAUAGAUCAGGAUUUUCAAAAUUAACCUCCAUAAUUGUUAGAAGACAAAAUUUUGUUAUUGGCGAGUCAAUUAAUUCAUAAAAUUGAGCUUUCACAUUGGUGAAAAGUUGAAGGUUUUUCAUCUUUGAGAAGCUGUCAUCACUCAAGCAUAUGUCAUCUGGUGUCGGAAACUUUGCUAUGAUGCCUUUAAUAUUGUUUGUUUCCUAUUAUUAAAAAAAAAAAGAAGUUGUUUUAACAUACAAAGCUUUAUAGCAAAUAAAAAUGCAAGUGUACACACACACAGAGACUUACUGUUCCUUCUGUUAGAACACGAUAAACAUUCUCGUGAAAUCACAAUCUGCUACGUUCACUAGGCUCAUUUGGCGACUCUUGAUAAACUAUUCUUCUACCCAAUUCUUCAAGCAAGUCAUGCAUCCCAAUUGUGCCUUGUUCAAUAUUUAUGAGGGCCUUGUCUACGAGUACUUUAAUAGCAUACUUAGGCUUGAGGUCACAACCUUCCAGGAUCGGUAUCAUAUGGUUCACCUUUCUACCGUUAAAGAAACAUGCUAUGUCAAGGAAAACUUCUUGCACUGAAUAUUCCAAUGCAUCAUAGCUUAUUUUGAGAGUUUUUUUAAUGUCCGAGUGCAGAUUCCCAUCCAAUGCAUCAUGCCACUCAUCUAUACUUCUACCACAUAGAUGAGAACCUAAAACCUUGAGAGCUAAAGGAAGACCUUGAGCAUGCUUCAGCACACAUUCUGCAAGUUCCACAUAAUCAUCAUCCAAAUUUCUAUUUCUUGUAAAACCAUUCCAACUAAAGAAGAGAUCAAGAGAUUCAUGAUAAUUUAAUUUCUUUGCCUCGUAGAUUAUACUAACUCAAUGAGAAGUUAGCAAAUGCUUAUCUCUUGUCGUUAUGAUAAUUCUACUGCCCAAACCAAACCAAUCACAACCUCCAACUAAGUUGUUUAAUUGGUCCAAAUGAUCCACAUCAUCUACAAUUACAAGGACCUUUUUACCACUCAACCUUUCCUUUAUCACACUGAUUCCUUUAUCGGCACUGGUAACCUUUAUUUCCUUUCCCCUUGGAAUCUCAUAAAGAAGAAGAUUUUGUAGGUCGACUAGGCCUCCAUAUGGUAUUGAUCUUUCUCUUACAUUUUCCAGAAAACAACUCCUUUCAAACACUUGGGCCAGUGAGUUAUAAACAGCUUUAGCAACAGUUGUCUUUCCUAUUCCACCAGUCCCCCAUAUUCCUACCAUGCAAACGUCAUUUCCGUAAACAUCUAAAACUUUAUGAAGAUCUCGUACACUAGCCUCUAUUCCAACUUGGUAUUUUGCCACAUUGAUAUGGAUAUCAUUUAAUACUUGUAAGGAAAUCUCGUUGACAAUGUUCUGAAUAAAUUCAGUUUCACGGCUGCCAAUUUGAAGCACAAACAACAUUUAAAUAAAAUGGGAUUUUUCUAUAUAUAUUUUAAAGAAGUGCUCGACUCAAUACUAGUGUCAAUUAUGUCGUGAAUCUAUAUAUAUAAAGCAAAAAGCAGAGAAUGGUGAAACAUUCAAAAUACCAUAAAUGUCAUUGAUUAAUGCAAACAUUAAGAAUUGAAAUUAUUAAUUAAAUGAGGAUAAUAUGGUAAAUUCACACUUUUUCAUAUUAAAAAUAAAUUAAAAUUAAAAGAAAAAAAAUUAGAAAACACGUGACCAAGCUAUGAUGUUAGGGAAAGCGUGUGAUGGAAUGGACACUAGGAUAACAAUAGAAGAGAUUGGUUUUCGUAACAGAGUGAUUUUAUUAGAAAGGAGAGAAGUACACUGCUUGGUAGCUAUUAUAGAUAUUUGAUACUAUUAUCUUCAAUAUUUGAUAGCUAUUAUAGCAUUUUCGGAUCCUAAAUUACUCUAGAAAUUUCUACCAAAUGUCCAUCAUAUUUUAACAGUUACAAUAACAGAUUCUGCAACCCUGGGAGAAAUAAUGUAGCUAUUGGUUGGCUAAUUAGCCUUUCAGUGAUGUAACUAUUUGCUGCAAUUUAUAUUACUGUUGUAUUGAUUCAAUUAUAUUUAUAUAAAAUAUAUUCGUUGGUUUUUAUUAUUUUGUUAUUUUGGUUUUAUACUGAUUGUUUUACAACAACUAGUACAUCAGUCGUUAAACACCUUGCAAUUACAUAAAAAUUUGAAUGCAAACCCUUUGUGUCUUGAAACAAUUCUGCACUAAAUUUUUUGAAAAAUAAUGUUGAUUCCUUUAUCGACAAAAUGACUAAUUCACAAAAUUUAGGUAAAUUUUAAACAAAAGUUGAUUAAAAAAGACAAGAGAAAUGCCAUCAUUUUAAUCCCCACUAGAUACACGCACAUAGUGGAUGUGAAGUAGUUUCCUGCCAUCUUCAUAGUGGAUGUGAAGUCAAAGGGAAUAAGAAAAUUGUCAAAAGGAAACACCGACAAACCACAAAAAGAAAAAGACAAAAGAAGCAUCAAUACACUGUCAUUGCAACAUGGGUGUUUACCAAGUAGUUGGGGGUGUGGAGAAAAAAAACAAAAACAAAAGGUCGAUUGAUGAUGAAAGAUAACUAAAAUAGAUCAGGAUUGUAAAAAAUAACCUCCAUAAUUGUUACAAGACAAAAUUUUGUUAUUGGCGAGUUAGUUAAUUCACAACGCGUCAUGCUAACUAUUAGAUAGAAAAGUAUUCAUACGUGAGUUUAAUAUAUUAUCGUCUUUCUCAAUAAGAAAUGUGAAACAUUCAAAAUACCAAAAAAUAUCCUUGGUUAAUGCAAACAUUAAGAAUUGAAAUUAUUAAUUAAAUAAGAAUAAUAUGGUAAAUUCAUACUUUUUUAUAUUAAAAAAAUUAAAAUGAAAAGAAAAAUCAGAUAAUGAAUCUUAUUUUUAUGAGACACAACUACUCAUCAUCUUUUUAAUUCUAAAAUAAUUUUUUUUUCUUCAAAAAGCCUCUCACAAGCGCAAAAGCUCGUGCGGAGAUGCUAGUUAUAAAUAAAUAAAAACUAGUGUAUUUUGUUUUUGUUUGUUUGUUAAAAAAUAAUAUAUGGUUUAAUGGGUUGUCCUGUUAAGGGAAAGCUUAGAGGCAAUAAUUUAAACUUUUGGAAAAACAAUAAUCCCAAAUGUACGAACCAUUCAUCCGCUAAUAGCUUGCGAAAAUAUAAUUAAAAUGGGAAAACAAAAAACAAAUACACUAGUAAUAAGUUUAUGUAUCCACUAAAACUUAAUUACAUGGAGGCAAUCCAAUGGAUCACUAAUGAUUUUUUCAUCAAAACAACCUAGUUAUAUAUAAUUACCGAAAAAACUAAUGACUCAUUUUUCAUGGCCAGAGAAGCGAGCAAAGGUCCUUCAACAAAUAAAACAUGUGUACAAGGUGUCACCAAGGCACAAAACGGUCCAUAAGCAAACGAACUUUGGCAUCUGAAAGCGUAGAGGAAUCCAAGUCCCUCUGAAUCUGAGCCAUUCUGCUGCUCUCUAUUCUUGCUUCUUUGAACACUACUUGUUCUUUAACCUCAUCAUCACCUUCUCCUUGUUUGGCCUUCGAUGAAAACACCAUUCGCUUCUUAGCCCCCACCUUGUCUUUCAGCUUUGCCAACUCGCUCAUCCAAACCUCCACCACUGCAGACAUGCUUGAACUUGAAAACUUGAAAUUCUGGCUUGGUCUUGACUGUUGAGUUUGAUCAAGGAUGAUGAGGAGGGCUGGCUAUUAUGGUUGUUGGGUUAUAUAGAAGAGAGAGAGAGAGAAAGAGAAAGAGGGCCUUGCCCUUCAUGUGGUUUGGAUUGGAUGAAAAACCAGUGUGUCACAGACAGCCGCUGGUUAUAGGCUCGCACACAGGAAUAUUCCUUGGGAAGAGAGAGAGAGAGAGAGAGAGAGAGACUAGAAAGUGGGGUAUGAGUUUUGUUGAGUGAGUGAAAAGCUUCCCCGUGGGUGGGCGCACGGAACUCUCUUCUUUAGAUUAAUCUUGUGGGCGACUUAGCAUAUUACUAUUCAUAAUAAUAUUCCAUUGCAUCUUAGUUUUCCUUGUGUCUUAUUCCAACAUUGCAAUUCUCUUUCUCCGAAAUACCCAUUCACCUCUUCAUCAUCAGUAAAAGUAGCCAUCUUCAUUAUCUUCACAGCUGAAGUAGUCAUGUUCCGAGUCUUGCUCAUCUUCACAUAGAUCAAUACAAUUAUCUCCAUCAAACCUCUCAUUAGCAUCUUCCAAGUCAUCGGAUUCAGACUCACCAUCUUCCGUAAAUAUAGACAAGUCUUCAUCAUCCUGUGUCAUUACCAGGUGGACCCCGAAGCUUUUUAAACACAGCGAAUCUAGUGUCAAAUUCAGAAAAUUAACUCGACACGCAAAAGGCGACCGCGGCCAGGUAAUCUGAUCAUCCCGGUAAAACAUUUCGCUGAAUCGAAUAUAGCACAGCCACACAUGACCUGACCCUAUACCAUGACCUGACCCGUUCUUUCUGAAAUCGGACGCAGUAAAAUAAGGUUCCACUCCUGGUUGAUUCACGGAAAUUUUUGUUACAAAACCAUUGUAACGUGGUCUUUUGUUUUGCGGGUUUUCACCAGCAGCGUAUAGAGCCAAUCCUUGGUUCUGGCAUUUGAAGUUUGGAGGGAUUUCAAUCAAAAAUUCACAUGCUUCAUCACGCUCCUUCACAUACUUAUGACAGCUGAACAACGUCGAGAGAGCUUCAAAACUUGCUGGAAAUACAACCUGAAAUCCAUGUUUCUGCGAAGACAGAAGGUGAUCAAAGAAGAUAGUGAUCUGCUCCUUUGCUAAAAUGUUUUGCUUCUUUCUGAGGUCACAAGCCAGAUUGCCGCAGAGUCUGUGGCAAUUACACAAGUCCACCAACUUAAUCAUUUGUGAGUCUUCUUUACCCUUCAGAAUGUUGGACAAUGAUGAAAACCUUUCCAAUGAUACGCAAUCACUUGCAUCUAACUUUACUAUUUUUGGUGGAAGUUCCGGAAUAUCUCUAAGCCUCUUGCAGCCAUGCAAGUAAAGAUACCGCAUAUUGACAAAUUUCGUAAUGCAUUUGGGAAUACUUACAAGGAAAUCACAUAGUGUUAGAUCAAGUUCGCUCAAUGUAGACACAUAAUCUUCAGACUUCACUUUAUUUGGAAAUGUAACAAGCUUUCGACUUCUUCGGAGACAAAUGCGGUUUAAAUGUUCCAACUCAUAAAUGCUGGGUGGCAGAUUCGUAAGAUUUUCACAACUGCUUAGGUGUAAUAACUCAAGAUUGAUGAGAUAUACAAUUGACGCUGGCAAUUCUUUGAUGCCACUACCAUGUAGAAACAUGUAACGUAAGGAAUCCAUCUUUCCCCCAAUAUCAGGGAAAGUCUCCAGUCUUCUGCAAAAUUGAAGAUUGAGAACUUCUAGAGAUUUUGACUUGAUUAUUGGAAAUAGUGUGAGGUUAUGGCAACACAUAAGACUCAAGUCCACAAGCUUAUCAUGAAAUCCAACAGAAGGAUGAACCUCAACUAAACUUCUGCAGUAGUCUAGAUUCAAGGACUGUAAGUUUGGAAUUCCAGAGAUAUUUGGGGUUUUUGUUAGGAGUUCACAGCUCCUAAAAUUCAUGGACGUCAAAUUUUGCAAACGCUAUAUAAGACAAAAAUAGAAAAGAAAAAGAAGGAUCAAACGAUAAGGCAUAAACAAGUUUAAGCCAUAACUCCAGAAACUUAAUAAACUUUUGAAAAUACGAAGGGAUGAAAAUAAUUUAAAUUACCUUGAAUCCCUCCCCAAGUUGUGACAAGCGGCUACAAGGCAUAUAAAGUUCAACAAGUUUCCUUGGAUUGAAAGUAGAUGGUAAAGUUUGUAGAGGACAACCAGGCCAAUGAAGAAACCUCAACUCAUUAGAUAGAUAAUCCACGUGAUCGCCAUAAAAUCGUGCAUUCACAUUGAUGAAAAGUCGAAGGUUUUUCAUCUUUGAGAAGCUGUCAUCACUCAAGCAUAUGUCAUCUGGUGUCGGAAACUUUGCUAUGAUGCCUUUAAUAUUGUUUGUUCCCUAUUAUUAUAAUUUUUUAAAAAGUAGUGUUAACAUACAAAUUUCAAUAGCAAAUAAAAAUGCAAGUGUACACACACACACACUUACUGUUCCUUCUGUUAGAACACGCACUACUACAAAAAAGCAAAAAGACGACGGUAAAUCACCGUCGUGUAUUCGGUUUUUCAAUGGUCGUGGAAUCCACCGUCAUCUUUUCCCUCAUAAACCACGACGCUAAAUCACCGUCGUUGUUAAAAUAUACAACGUCAUCAACAAAUACAAAACGACGUCUUUGUACUGCAAAAAGAUCUAAAAAAGCAGUCGAGGAUGAGAAUAGACGACCAACUCUCUAAAAAAACCGUCGUUAAAAAGGAAAAAUAUGACACAUAUUAAGAUAACAAGGCCGCAAGAUAGACAUACAAUGACGAAAAUAAAAAUACCACGCCGUUAAAUAUCAUUUUCACGACAAUAAAAAAUUUGACGUCUUUAAAUACAUUAGAAGACGACGUUAUUGAUACCUACUACGUCGCAUAUAUAAAAACAGCCGUCGUAAAAUUAAUUUUCCACUUCGAUUUUUCGAUAAAAGAUGACGUGGAAAUAGUUGUCAGUGUCAUUAUUUACGACGUAUGUAUUUAUAGAGUAGACGUUGAAAAACGAAACAACGUCAGUUACAAAUAUAUGAGAGUCGUAUUACAAAAUUUAUACGUCAUAUUUUCAGAAACAAACAACGACGAUAAAUAUUCAACGUUGUUAAAUAAACCAACGUCGGAAAACAAUAAAAACAGACGUGUUUAGUCUGCUAAAGUUCUAGAAAAUAGUCGAGGAUGAGAAUAGACGACCAACUCAAACAAAUCACCGUCGUUAAAAAGGAAAAAUAUGACACAUGUUAAAAGAACAAGGCCGCAAGAUAUACAUACAACGACGAAAACUAAAAUACUACGCUGUUAAAUAUAAUUUACACGACAAGAAAAAAUAUGACGUCUUUAAAUACAUGAGAAGACGACGUUAUUGAAAUAUACUACAUCUCUUAUUUACAAACAACCGUCGUGAAAUAAAUUUUCCACUUCGAUUUUUCUAAAAAAGAUGACGUGGAAAUAGUUGUCAGUGUCAUUAUUUACGACGUAUGUAUUUAUACAGUUGACGUUGAAAUGCGAAACAACGUCGGUGGCAUUUAUAUAGUCGACGUUGUAUUUAUAUCUAUCAUCAUUACUCACGACGCACUUAAUAAUAUAGACGACGUUGAACUUCUAAACAACGUCGGUUCCAAAUAAAUGAGAGCCGUAUUACAGAACAUAUAGACGGCGUUGAUUAUGAUGAGAGCCGUAUUACAAAUAACGUCGUUUAAUUGUUAUUAGACGGCGGUUAUAAUGAAUUUCCGUCGGAAUUCAUUUCGUUCCUCUUCGUUUAUAAAAGAACUUGCGACGUGGAAAAUGUAUGAUGACGUCGUAUUUUUUAACGUUCAGAUUAUAUAUCUCGUUUUUUAGACGUCGGUAUUAUGGGAUUGGAGUCGUGUUAUUUUGAAUUACAUGGCGGUUCUUAAUCCUUCCCCGACGUGAUAUCCUGAAUAAUUGCUUCACAAUAGCGUCGUGGUUCUUCAUUGUUACGUUGCUUUAAGACGUCGGUAAAUAUGCUGAAUAACUGGUUCACAAUAACGUCGUGUUUUAUUUGAACGUAGAAAGUGAAGAAAUCACAUUACAAUAUAUUACAAAAUUAAUGUCAUACACUGCCAAUUACAUAAGCAUCAUUCAAUCCAUAUAUCUUCACACCCAUCUCGAAUAUUUUGACCGCCUAACUCACCCACCAGUUCAUCAAAUGUGUCAACAUUUGGCAUCCCUCUAGUAAAUGGCUCACACUCAAUUAUCACAUCACCUAAGACUUCAUCACCAAUAACAUCAUUAUAUUCUCUAUUAGGCAUUGAUAACACUACCGACCAACUAUGAUGCAUCGGGUCGUCAACAAAAAAUAUUUGUUUGACUUGAGAAGCCAAAACAAAUUGGUCAUUCCUAUGUCCAAUUUUACUCAAAUCUACAAGGGUAAAUCCAAGUUCGUCGACUACAAGACCAGAACUAUCUAUCCAAUCACACCUAAAGACUGGGAUUGUAAACUUUUGGUAGUCAAGGUCCCAAAUUUCUUGAAUGACACCAUAGAAACCCAUAUUUGAGAGAAUUGGGUUUUUAUCCUUGGCACUAGCAACUUGCAUGGUAUGUGCAAGUAAAUAAACUCCACUAUUUUGAGUUGUCCGCACAUCAUCUUGUGCCUUGAUAUUGAAUUUAAUACCUUUAAUAAGAUAGCUCCUAUAUAAUGGCACUGACAUGUUUGGACCAGCUGCUAGCCACCUUAAAUUUUCUGAUACGCCGUGAUUGUCUUCCUCAAGUUCACUUUGAACCUGCAAAUUAAUCAUAUCUUAAUUCAAUCUAACAUAUAAAUAAGAAGAAAAUUAAAAGAGAAAUAUGUUAUUCAACAACAUAUACCUUGAAGCGUAGCCAUUGAAUGAAAGUGCUAUUGUGCUUAUCCUGCAGCCACUUUGUUCUCUUUCUAAAUUUUGGAUAAGCAAUCUUGAUGUGGAUCAUAUGUUGCCUACAUGACACGAAAAAUUCAAGCAUUACGGUCCCAAAUAUAGAAGAUAAACAUAAGAAAUAAUUUAAAAUGGAAACUUAAAGAAUAAAGCUCAUACGUACUCGAUAUAAGGUAGGACUUCCUCCGUAUUCUCCAAGACAUAUAGAUGUGCUUGAUUCAAUAGGUCCUGAUCAACUACGCUCACUGUGCAACCUGAUAAUGGCUUUGAAAGUCCCAUCUUUUGGCUUGAAGGCACUCCAACUGUACUAACAUCAGAUAAAUGCUGAGUACAAAACUCUACCGCUUCUUCAGCUAUAUACCGCUCAGCAAUGCAACCUUCGGGACGAGUACGAUUCUGAACAUACCCCUUCAGCACUUUCAUAUAUCUUUCAAACGGAUACAUCCACCUAAAAUAUACUGGCCCACAUAGACGAACUUCUCUGACAAGAUGUACUACUAGAUGAACCAUGAUAUCAAAGAAUGAAGGGGGAAAGUACUUCUCAAGCAAACACAGAGUAACUACUACAUCUUCUUCCAACUUAUCUAGCUUGGAAACAUCAACAGUCUUUGCACAUAUAGCAUUGAAGAAGAAGCACAAACGAGUUAUUGCAUACCUUGCAGGCUUCUCCAAAACAGAACGAAUUGCCACAGGGAGCAAUUGUUGCAUUAAGGUAUGACAAUCAUGUGAUUUAAGGCCAAGAAGUCUUGAAUCUUGUAAAGAUACAAGAUUUUUAAUAUUUGAAGAAUAACCUUCAGGGACCUUCAUACCAUAGAAAGAAUUGCAAACCUCUCUCUUCUCUGCUCUUGACAAAUUCCAAGGCCCAGGAGGCAAACGAGUACGUCUUUCUCCAUACUCGGGUUGCAAAUCAGUUUUGACCCCCAUGUUCAAUAAAUCUAAUCGAGCAGCAAUCCCAUCUUUAUUUUUUCCAGGGAUCUCCAGCAAUGUACCAAUGAUACUAUCGCAAACAUUCUUCUCAAUGUGCAUAACAUCUAGGGCAUGCCUCACAGGAAGGUAUUUCCAAUACUCGAGAUCAAAGAAUAUUGAUUUCUUCUUCCAACAAACUCUGUCACCAUUUUCAACCAUAUGCAGCACUUCUUCUCCGGUUAAUGGCUCGGGAGGUAUGCCAUAUUCAGGUUUCCCAUUAAAAGCUGCACGUUGCCUCCUAUAUGGAUGAUUGAUUGGUAACCAUUUUCUAUGCCCAAUGUAACAAAUUUUGUGGCCAUUUUUCAACCUGUGACUAGGUGUAUCAUCGCCGCAUAUUGGACAAGCUUUAUAUCCUUUAACAACACAACCAGAUAAGUUUCCAUAGGCGGGGAAAUCAUUAAUUGUCCACAUUAAUGCAGCUCUGAGUGUAAAGUAUUCUCCAUUAUGUGCAUCAUACACUCCUCUAAUCCCAACCCACAAGGAUUUUAAAUCAUCAAUCAAAGGCUCCAAGUAGACGUCUAUAUCAUUUCCGGGUUGUUUAGGACCGGAAAUCAAUAAGGUUAACAUCAUGAACUUUCGUUUCAUGCACAGCCAUGGAGGGAGAUUAUAUGUAACUAAGAUAACCGGCCAACAACUAUAUCUGCUACUUAGAGAACUGUGGGGGAUUGAAUCCAUCAGAUGAAAGAGCCAAUCUCAAGUUUCUCGGCUCAUUACCAAACUCAGGCCAUUUAUCAUCAAGAAGUUUCCAAGACGGGGAAUCCGCCGGAUGAGACAUCUGACCGUCAAUUGAUUUUCUAGCAGCAUGCCACCAAGUCAAACUCUUAGCUGUCUCAUGUGAUUGAAACAUCCUUUUAAACCUUGGAAUUGGGGGAAAAUACCACACCACCUUCGCUGGCACACCCUCUUUCAAGAUUGAAUCUUUGCCUUCCUUCCACCUUGAGAUACCACAAGUAGGACAAUUAGUUGAAUCCUCAUACUCCUUCCUAUACAAGAUGCAAUCAUUGGGGCAUGCGUGCAUUUUCUCAUAACUCAGCCCCAAUGCACACAAAGUCUUUUUAGCCUCAUACAUGGAGGUUGGUAUUGUAUUUCCUUCUGGAAGCAAAUCGCCUUGAAGUAUCAAUAAUUCUGUAAAACAGACAUCACUCAUCCCAUGUUUUGCCUUCAAAUUAUACAACUUCACUAAUGCCGAUAACUUCGUGUACUUUCUACAACCAGGGUACACUGGUUGAUCUCCAUCCCCAAUCACAUUGGCAAACUCAUACGGAUCCGAACCAAAAUCACCAAAAUCAUUAUCAUCCAUAUCAAUUUCUUCAGACACAAAACUGUACCUACUAUGGCCAUCAUCUUCUUCAACAUUUCUGCUAGCAUUAGUAGUUGCUUCCCAAGGUUCUCCGUGAAAUGUCCAAUUCUUAUAGCUUUGGUCAAUUCCAUUAAAGUAUAAGUGAUCCCUUAUAAUUCCAACCCCAAACAACUUCAAAUUAACACAUUUAACACAUGGACAACGGAUAUGUGUUGUAGUUAGAAGAUUUUCUACAGCAAAGUUCAAAAAUGCUUCCACCCCAACUCAUAUGCCUUCGAUCUUCUAUCCGAGUGCAUCCAUGACUUAUCCAUCUCCGACACUAUAACCUAUUAUCUAUAAUAAAGUGAAAAUACAGGCAAUGACCAUCACUAUAGCAGAUUAUACAAUGAUCUAAUCGCAAGUAAUACACAACAGAGACGACGGGUUUUAAACAAAAACAGACGUAUUUGGAAUAUAUAGACGACGGAUUUUCAACAGACGUCGUCUAUUAUAAGUAAUACAAACGACGGUUUAUGAAAAAACUAUCGUGUAUAAGUAAUACAACGACGGUAGUUUAAAAAAACCGUCGUGUAAUCGUCGUCGUAAGCCUUAAAAUUCGUCGUGUCUCAGUUUAUUUUCAAGAACACAAAACCCAUUAAGAACACAACAUAUAUAUGAAACCAAGCAAGAAACCAACAUAUACAUGAAACCAAGCAUGAAAACAAUAAAUCCAUUCCCAAUUCAACAUAACAUAGGGUGAUUAAAAGAUACGACAAAAUUAAAUCCAUUCCCAAUUCAACAUAACAGAUAAUGUAAUCCAUGAACCCAUUAAACAGAAAAUCCAUGAACCCAUACCUAUAAGCACAUUAUUAACAGAUCGCAAAGCAUACACAUAAAACCCUUUAACAAAACAACCUAAUAUAACUCGAAUCGUUACUAGAAUCAUCACUCGAAUCUCCAUCUUCAUUAUCAGUUUCUUCCUUCGUAGGUACUAUUUGCUCCCCAUCAUUGGUGCACUUUGCACCUUCUCCAGAGCGGAAAAUGACAAGAUCAAAUAAAGGUGUACUUUUGCUGGAAAUCAACACAAAAAGACACAGAUCAUCAACUUCCAAAUGAUUGUCACGCACAACGUCCAUCCAACCACGCCUGAAUUGUAUAAGUUUUACAAUGUUGGUUUGAGCAAAGGAAGGCCCAGAUCAGGCGNNNNNNNNNNNNNNNNNNNNNNNNNNNNNNNNNNNNNNNNNNNNNNNNNNNNNNNNNNNNNNNNNNNNNNNNNNNNNNNNNNNNNNNNNNNNNNNNNNNNAGCAUGAAACAAUAAAUCCAUUCCCAAUUCAACAUACAUAGGGUGAUUAAUAGAUACGACAAAAUUAAAUCCAUUCCUGGAUGGACGUUGUGCGUGACAAUCAUUUGGAAGUUGGUGAUCUGUGUCUUUUUGUGUUGAUUUCCAGCAAAAGUACACCUUUAUUUGAUCUUGUCAUGAACCCCUUUAACAAAACAACCUAAUAUCAUUCAAUGAAUUUACAAGGGGAAGAUAGGGUUUGUACUUACAGGUUGGACGAGCUCACAGAUUCGACGGAGCCUGGAGAGUGCAACUUUUAAUUAGAGCAGAAGUGAGAGAGCGAAAUGUUAUGUCGCGCGAAAUCUGAAAAUUUUAGGUUUCAGGGUUCGAAGUAUAAGAAUAAGAGCCAAAUCUAAAAAAAUUUAGGUCGCGCGAAAAUUUUUAGAGCUCGCGCGUUUUAAAACGUCGAAAGAAAAACCAAGGCGAAAGUUCUACAAGUACCGACGUAAAUUUAAUAUUCCACGACGGAAACUUCAUUUUUCGAAUUAAGAACGUAAGGCCGUUCAUUUUGAAGCUUCAUUUUUCGGAUUAAUUUUAAAUUUAUUUUGAAUUUUUUAUAUAACGACGACUGAAAAACCACGUCGGUGUUAAGAAAUUAAAGACGUUGUAAAUCAUAUAAACCGACUUACAUAUUAAAAUGACGUCGUUUAAAGCGUAAACCAUGUCGUAUGUUUUUCUGUACGACGUAAAAUAUGUAUUCCACGACGCAACCACCGUCGUUAAAAAUUAAUACCCUAAACCCAUAAAACUAAAUUAUACAAUUUAAAAAAUUAAGUUUAUAAAAGGUUUUAUGGUUUUAAAGCCUAACAUAUACCCUAGACUACCCAAAAAUUAUACUUUAAAAAUAAACCCCAAUAAAUAACAACCCUAAUCUCUAAACCCUAGACUCUAAACCCUAAACCAUAAAACUAGAAGUGAUUUUAUGACUCAUCAAAACAAUUUUGUUUUGGAUGGUCAUUUUAAAUUUUUGUUAUUCAAAAUGAAUUUUUUCAAGGUUUAUGUGGAAGAAAAUAUAUCAAUGACUUCAUAGGAGUGGACUUUUCAAUUUUCUGAUUUAUUUUAAAUUUAUUUUGAAUAUUUUGAUAUAAAAAUAAUAAAAUAUUCUUACCACAACAACAAACCACGUCGGUGUUAAUAAAUUGUAGACGUUGUAAAUUGUAAUAAACUACUAAGUCGUUAAAAUGAGUCGUUAAAAUGAGAAACCAUGGCAGCUAUUUAACUAUACGACGUAAAAUAUAUAUUCCACGACUUAACCGCUGUCGUUACAUAAACGAUAAACGACUAUUAGGGUUGUAAACCAUAAACGACUCAAUUGUUCAAAGAACGUCGUCUAACUAUAUUUUUACGUCGUAUUUGUUUAAAACACGAAACAACAAAAUACGACGGUUUUUGACUUUAUUAGGUCGUUGGAAAAGUAUUACACGUCGGUUAAGCAAUUUGUAUGUUUGUUUUUUUUUUAAUUUAAGAAAACCUCAACAAAUUUUUACAUUACAUAUUAUAGAGAAAAUUUGUACAUUAUACAUAAAUAUCAAGUGUUCAAUAAUUGCCCUGUUUAAUAAUUUGGAAAACAAACUCUGCCCAUUCAUUCCGGACUUCAUCAAUGGCUUCUUGGGGGUAUGAAGCUUCCUGGUUUCCCUUGGCAUACUGCAUAAACAAUGACUAUUAGGGUUUAUAAAUAAAAAGAAAUUCAAUCACAGACAACGAUAUUUUUCAUAACCGACGUAGUAUAUCCAUUCAACGACGUUAAUUUUACAUGACCGUCGUUGAUAAUACAAAAAACGACGUGAAAUGUAUGAAGGUAAUUUCUUCUUACCUUAUUCUCAAACCCCAAGGAAGGAUCCAUGAUGAUGUCCCUCAUGAAGCGCAUCACAUAAUACCCGCAUUCGACAUUGCUGGGUUGCUUUGGUGUGCCUGAGAGAGUUUUCCAAAUUACAUUUUUACGUCCUGCUCGGCCUAUGUGGGUAUUAUAUAUUUUUAAAGCACUGUUCACGAUGUUUUUCGCCUCUUCGUCGACCACACGAUGACCUGGCAGAGGAUCCAGAAAAUAGACGGUCUCCUUCUUUGCUCUUACAAUCAGCAAGAUCCAAUGACGGCUGCACAAAAUUAAUAUAAAAACGACGGUUAUUUACAAAAACGACGUAUUAUAGUAUUUCACACGACGAAAUAAAGUAGAUAACGACGACAUUAUAUAUUUAUCACGACGAUAAAUAAAUACCGACGUGGUUAGUAGUUUCAAACGACUAAAUAAAAUAAAACACCGACGUGGUUAGUUUAUAUGCUGUCAUUUAUUGAAAAUCAUAAAAACAAAAUCCUAAGGAGACUAACCCUGGAUUGUAAGGCAUCAUGAAAAUCUGUUCACCGUCUGUCUUCUGAAGUCGAGCUGCUACCAGUCGUGAUCUUUCAGUUAUUGUGCCAGAGUUGGCACUAACUGUAGCAGGGUCGAUAAAGCCAACCAUGCUGCACAUAUUGGCUUGUUUCAAAACAUCGUGUAAGUACCUAAAUACAUAAAAUAAUAUAAACAAGUCAGCACAAACAAACACGACGGUUAUGUAUAAAAAAACGACGUAUUAUAAUAUUUCACACGACGUACUGAAAUAGAUGAGGACGUUAUAAUAUAUUUAUCACGACGGUAGUUAGUUAAGACGACGUGGUUAGUUAGUUAAGACGACGCAAUAUAUAAACCAACGAGGUAUUAUUUUAGAAGUACAAACCUCAUAUAUACAGCCAAUACAGUAGCUCCAAUUUCUUCCAUGCCUGCAAAUUGUGUAAUAUCUUCAGGCAGGAGGAAGGUAUCGCGCUCACCACCAAACACCUCAUUAUCAAUUGUAAAUUAGAGUGUCUUAUCCUCAGGCAGGAGUGUCGUUUCCACAAAACGACAAAGGGUUUUUAAAGAAGAUGGCGCCUCCAUAUUUGAAUAAGCACCAACUUCAAUAACCUGUUUAAAGAAAUAAAAAAAAUGACGUGGUAAUUCAAUAAAGACGACGGUUUAAGGAAUAAAACGUCGUCUUAAAAGUAUUUAAACGACGGUGAAAAAACUGUCGUGGUAAUUCAAUAAAGACGACGGUUUUAUGAAUAAAGCAUCGUCUGAAACCAUUUAAACGACGGUGCAAAAACCGUCGUUUAAAUAUUUUAUUACGUCUUAAAAAAAGUCCGCCGUCUAAGUUUUAAACAAACGACGGAUUAAAUAAAAAUAUCGACGUCUGAAAUUUUGAAAAACAAAUAAAAAAGGCAAAGUUAUGUGAACAUACCUUGUCGUCAUGCUUUUCUUCAUCUUCUUUCUCCUUUUCUUCUUCCUUCUCUUCAUCUCUUUUUUCUUCUUCCUUCUCUUCAUCUGGCUGAUGUUUCCCCAUUUUGGCAGUAUCAUCCUCCAAAUGUAGGGAUCUCACAUCACCUCCAGAGCAGCUAGCUUUGUCAGACAUUGGAUUUUUGGGGCUUUGGCUAAUUCUUGGUUUAAGCAUGCUUGGAUCAAAAUUGGGAAUUAAUUGGGAAAGCUGACUCAGGAAAUGCUCCCUCUCAGCCUCUACCAAUUGUUUUGUCCUAGCCUCCAUCCUUAAGGCCUCUUCCCUUGCCUUAGCCUCCAUCUUUUUAGUCUCUUCUUGAAGGAGAACUCUUAAACUGUCCUUCAAACGGUCGUCAAAGCUCACCCUCUGUGGUUUAGGCAAAUUGAAAUAUUGCCUUGGGGGAAACACCAGCACCAACUCCCUUCACUCUGCCAGGAUGCUCGGGGCCCAAAGCCAUGGUCAGCACAUCAUUGCUGCCAUCUACUCUGACUUUGCCUUCCGAGACUUGUUUCUGAAAUUCAUCCUAAAAAAAGAUAAACAAAAAAACACACGACGGUUAUUUAUGUACAAACGACGUAUUAUAUAAUUUCACACGACGCAAUAACGUAUAAACCGACGUUAUUAUAACUUAUCACGACGGUAGUUAUACCGACGUGGUUAUUUAUUUAAAACGACGAAAUGAAUAAACUACCGACGUCUUAUGCUAUAAUUAAAGAAAACAGAGUAGUGAUUCCUAUUUAGACCGUUAACGACGUUUUUAAAAAAGUUUCGACGUGGUAAUAUCAUUCAAACGACGCCAAAAUGAACCACCGACGUCUUAUGCUAUAAUUACAGAAAACAUAGUAGUGAUUCCUAUUUAGACCUUUAACGACGUUUUUAAAAACUUCUCGACGUGGUAAUAUCAUUCACACGACAGAAAAUAUAACAUACGACGUAAUAAGAAUAAUUCACAGUUUAAUAAAAAUUUAAAACAGAGUGAUAGUAGGCUUACAAUUAAUUUUGCUUUCUCUGCCACCUUUGGAUCAGGGAUGUUACCAUGUUUGUCCUGUCUAGCUCUCUUCCAUAAGGUAGAUCGAUCAAUUUCUACCCAGGCAUGGUUUCCUCCAAUUGAUCCUCCAAUCCAGCAUAUCCUUUUCGAGACAAUCGAUGAUUGUACUCGAGUUUCUCCCUAAUCUGUGCAUGUUGAGAAUGCACAGACUCAAAAUCUUUGGAUAGCCUUGAAGCUACAAAGGCAUCCCAUUGUGCUUUCUCUAUGAAUUUAUAUGUUUCAGGGGGUUGGCUUAAUUUCUCCCUGUCAUUGGUGUAUGGAAGGAUAUAAUGCCUCGUUAGUGUAGACUUGAAAUCCUUCCAUUUCUUGGAAGCAGAAGCUAAAACAGAGGUCUUGCCCCCUUGGCCUACGACAAAAGCCAUGUCAACUGCUUCCCAAAUCUGCUCCUUUAUAUCCUUGGAGAUUUGGGACCAUUUCUUGUCCACAAGUGGGAUCCUGGAGCGUGCCAACACACCAAUAUACGACUGCAUCUCAAUAUGUGCUUGGCUAACACCUUUUCCCCUUUUAUUGUACUCAACAAUUGGCCUCAGUUUCUGAAGCUUUCUCUUCACAACACGAGGCAUUGUGCUCAUACCUCGACCAGUCUUUGAAUCAUCAGAGAUUGUUGUCUGGCUGGUUGGUUCUGUCUCAGCAGAUGAUGAAGCAAACUUCAUCUUCUUCGAAGACUUCAUCUCCUUCGAAGACUUGUCUUGAGGAGCUACCAUUCCAAGCUUCUUGGAGCCAGAAUCCUUAGUUUGUUGUUGAGAAACCAUUUUAACAGACAAAACUGCAAGUGAAAAUAUUUCAGGAAAACAUUAAGAACACAAACGACGGUAUUAAAAAAAUACGACGUCUGAUAUGAUUUUAGACGACGCAAUGAAAUAAUCUCAGACGUAAUAAAUGUUUAAAACCAUUAUUUAUAUAACGUCGUGGUAUAUAUGUUCACACGACGUCAAUAGUAAUACACCGUCGUGGUAAACUAUUAUUUAUAUAACGUCGUGGUAUUUAUGUUCAUAAGACGUCAAUAGUAAUACACCGUCGUGGUAUUAACAUUCACACGACGUAAAACAAUAAGAUAUUUUGUCGUCUAUAUUAGAUACCAACCCUAGUUUCUUUUUCUUUAUAUUUUAUCAAAUAAGGGAAAAACAAAAACCAUUGUUCAGAGAAAUCAAACCUGCAAUUAAACAAGCAUAUAAAAAAAGACUAUUAUUUUAAAAACAACUUUGUCAAUUUUCAGACGACGCUAGAACAACUGACGAACCGUCGUGGUCUACCGUCGUCUUAUUUAGUUGAGGUAGUUGUCUUCAAAGUUGGAAACUUUCCCUCUUUGUCUGUAUAUUUUAUCAAACUUGGAAAGAAGUAAAAUGAUUUUGGCCAGAAAAAAGGUAAAAAGAUUUUUCAAACAAAAAACGUAUGAGCAUGCAAAACAGUAACCAAAAUAGUGAAAAUGAAAGCUUACCUUUUGCGUGCAAUGAAAGCAAGAGGAAGAUGAUCGAUGUUUAAGUUCAGAGACGACGAAGAAGACGAGAGGAAGACGAUGAGAAACUCUGACAAUGCUCUGACAAGGAAAAAAGACGAAAAGGUUUCUCUGGGAGAUUGAAAUUUUUAAUCGGGUUUGGAAACAGUGCAUGUGUAAGUCGAAAAGUUGCUUACAUAUAAAACCAUUUCAAAAAAAUAAUACGGCGGUUACAUUUAACUACGUCGUUUUUAACUAAAACGACGCAAUAUUUUUCAUUCGACGUGGAAUCAUUUCAUUUAACGUCGUUAGGUUUAAUAUAACCGACGUGGAUUUUAAUUUUUAAAUUAUGAAUAGAAUUUUUUUUCCCGUGACCUUUCAGUUUAUUUUUCAAUUACAGUGCGUUAUAAAUAGAGUUUUUUUUCCGGAGGAAAUUUAAAACGAAGGAAAUUAAUAUUCUGCAAUAUGUAAAGUUUCUUUUUUGGAUGACAGAUUUAAAUAAAAUAAGAAUAUAAAAACAACAAAUGUGUAAGUCAAGUAGACGAAAAGUUGCUUACAUAUAAAACCAUUUCAAAAAAAUAAUAUGGCGGUUACAUAUAACUACGACGUAUAAAUUACAAAAUACGACGGUACAUUUAACUUCGGACGUGGUAAAUAAAUACGACAGUAGUUUGUAGGUACCGUCGUAGUAAACUCAAAAAUUAAAGUACAUAAGUAAUAACUCGCGUCAUGGUAGAUUAUUUAACACGUCGUCUUUAUUAAUUUACCGACGUGGAUUUCUGUAAUAUACGUCGAUCAUACCGACGUUGAUUUUACAAUUUAAACGGCGGUUUUUUUGUAAGGACCGCCGUUGGUUUUAAAAAUUUAUUCUAUAAAUUUGUCGCUUUCAUUCAUUUUCGGUUUACAUUUAAGGUUCCAAGUUCUUCCUCUCUCAGUCUCUCAUGUCUCAAAGACAAUAAUUUGGAUGUUUUCUCAAAGAGAAAUUGAGCUUACUCGCAUCAAAUAUAUGUCCACAAGAAGAAGCUUGUCAACUAGCCUUCUCACUUCCUUGAUCAAGCCUGAUAGGACACUUAAUGCUUCUGAAUACUCCUUGCUUUCCAUCAAAAGAGAUGCAAGCCUGGCCUCCACUCGCUGUCGAAGGAAAGUUCGCUUCUCAGGGAAAUCUGAAGAUCAGAUGUGCCUGAUCCUCUGCUUGAUUUUCUUGCCUAAGAAGAUCCGUCGGAUUUGUGAUAGCCUCUUCCUUUAUCCGUAGAGCUUCAGAAGAAGAAGAUGGGUUUCAAGAAUGCGAUAAAGAAUAGAAAUGGCUUCAGAUGGCCUCUAAAGCAUGAGCAAUUGAAUCAGUAGUUUCUGGGAGAUAUGAUGAAGACAUUGUCAAUGCUUUGAACUAUACAAGUCCUGCAAAAAGAUAUGUUAAAGAAACUGAAACAACGGCGGUUUUCUGUUCUACCGUCGUCUUUUCUCGUCGUCUAUAUUAAGUUAAGAUGGCGGUAGAUUUAUAAUUACCGACGUAGAUUAUUUUGUUAAACGUCGUUAAGUGUAUUACAACCGACGUGGAUUUUAUUUUUAAAUUAUAAAUAGAGUUUUUUUUCCCGUAUUCUUUCAGUUUUAGUUUUCAAUUCCAAAGCGUGAUAAAUAGAUUUUUCUUUCCCGAGGAAAUUUAAAAUGAGGGAAAUUAAUGUUCUAGAAUUUGUAAACUAACACGACGCAAUAUUUGCAAAUCUGUGUCAUCUGUUAAGAUUAUGAUGUGGAACAGAGUUCCAUCUGGUAAGAUUUCGUAACCCUUGGGAUCUCAGACAAAUCUGAUUAUGUCAGCGGUGUUCUAUAUAAACCGUCGUGGUUAUUUCAAUUCUUGUCAUUAAGUAGAUCUACCGACGUAGGAUAAGAAAAUCAAAGAAAAAAAUUGUUAACAAAAAUUCUUAUUAAGACGACCGUUAAAAUUAAAGGUACGACGUAUAAAAUGAAUAAAUACGACGAUAAAUUUUAUUGUACGAUUUAAAGAUAACGUCGUAGAACUAUACGAGAAUGACGUCGAUAUAUUUAUAUUUUCCGUCGUUGUAAAUUUAUUUAAUACGGCGAUAUUUUGUAUUUUAAAGCCGUGGAUUUGUUUGUAAUUAUACGGCGUCUUAUACGAAAACCUCGUCGUGUUAUUUUAUGAGUAAAAACGGCAGUUUUUAUUGAAAUCGUCGUCUUUACUUUCUACGUCGGUCGAUUCAUAACUUCUGCCGUUCUUUGUUGGCAUUGAUUUUACACUGCGGAAAUCUGUUUCAAAUAGACGUUGGUUGUUUAAUUAUGUACGUCGUUGUUUUUGAACAGCCAUUUGAAACUCCAUUUUUUAGUUGUCUAAGGUUGUAUUACACGACGGUGUUUUUAGAACCGUCGUCUUUUUAUAAACCACGACGGUUUUCACUUAGACCGUCGUUGUUUUCUAGUCGUCUUUUUCACUUUUUGUAGUAGUGACGAUAAACAUCCUCGUGAAACCACAAUCUGCUACGUUCACCAGGCUCAUUUGGUGACUCUUGAUAAACUAAUCCUCUACCCAAUUCUUCAAGCAAGUCAUGCAUCCCAAUUGUGCCAUGCUCAAUAUUUAUGAGGGCCUUGUCUACGAGUACUUUAAUAGCAUACUUAGGCUUGAGGUCACAACCUUCCAGGAUCGGUAUCACAUUGUACACCUUUCUACCUUUAAAGAAACAUGCUAUGUCAAGGAAAACUUCUUGCACUGAAUAUUCCAAUGCAUCAUAGCUUAUUUUGAGAGUUUUUUUAAUGUCCGAGUGCAGAUUCCCAUCCAAUGCAUCAUGUCACUCAUCUAUACUUCUACCACAUAGAUGAGAACCUAAAACCUUGAGAGCUAAAGGAAGACCUUGAGCAUGCUUCACCACAGUUUCUGCAGCUUUCACAUAAUCAUCAUCCAAAUUUUUAUUUCUCCCACCAUUCCAACUAAUGAAGAGAUCAAGAGAUUCACCAAAGUCUAAUUUCUUGGCCUUGUAUAUUAUACUAACUUGAUGAGAAGUUAGCAAAUGCUUAUCUCUUGUCGUUAUGAUAAUUCUACUGCCCAAACCAAACCAAUCACAACCUCCAACUAAGUUGUUUAACUGGUCCAAAUGAUCCACAUCAUCUACAAUUACAAGGACCUUUUUACGACUCAACCUUUCCUUUAUCACAUUGAUUCCUUUAUCGGCACUGGUAACCUUUAUGGUCGCUUACUGAAAAAAGCUAGUCAUGAAGUUUUCAGGGGGAGAUAUUCAUCAGGGGGAGCAUGGUAUUAAUAAAGACCUUCACACACUGUACUCUUUUUCCUUCAUCCAGGUUUUUAUCCCACUGGGUUUUUCCUGGUAAAGUUUUAACGAGGCAGUAUCGCUGAAGAUUGACUCACAGAAGCAGUGUCAACUACGAUAUUCAGAAAGAUGAUCAACAGUAUGGCUUAAAGAUAUUUUGCCAAGCAUCAGGGGGAGCGUGCUACCAAUAAAGAUCUUCAAACACUGUACUCUUUUUCCUUCGUCCAGGUUUUUAUCCCACUGGGUUUUUCCUGGCAAGGUUUUAACGAGGCAGUGUCGCACGCGUGUCAAUAUACACAGAAUUUUAUGUUACACAUGAUUAUGUACUCUUUUUCCCUUUGACCAGUUUUUGUCCCAUUGGAUUUUUACUGGCAAGGUUUUUAACGAGGCAUAUUCCAUAUCAUUUGUGGUCUCCAAGGGGGAGUGUUGUAAAUAAUAAGGUGGAGCCCACCUCCAAUUGAAAGAGGCUUUGCCUACAAAAGGGUUCACACCAUUCCUUUGUAAUUUGAGAUUGAUAAUACUAAGAGAGGAAUCCUACUGUUUCCUCCUAUCUCAAUUCCCUCUCCACUUUCUCUAGAUUUAUAACAUUUUCAACAUUUUUCAUGUAUUUUUCGGUUUCAUAUCGUGAUAUAUUGCCCAAAUAAUGCAUGAAAAAUGUUGAAAUUAUCGUCUACGACAUUAUCCCGAUAAUAUCGACAAAAAUAUUGAUAUAUUGACGAUAAUUAAGUGGAUAUGUGCAAAAAUAUCUCCCACUCAAAAAAGAAUUGACGAUAUUUAAUACUAUGGUUGUGAUCAAUGUUAUGGCUAGUACCCAAUGUUAUAUAACUCGCAAGAAAGAAUUCAACCUACCCGUAGUUUAGACAGUAACUAUUUAAUUAAAGAUUACAAUCUGGUUUGGUUAAGUUAACUGACUAUAUAUAUUCUGGAAAAAAAAAAACUGACUAUAUAUAUAUUUAUAAAUAAAUAAAAACAACUUGUGUACUUUGUUUUUGUUUGUUUAUUUGUUAAAAAAUAAUAUAUGGUUUAAUGGGUUGUCUUGUUAAGGGAAAGCAAUAAUUUAAACUUUUGGAAAAACAAUAAUCCCAAAUGUAAGAACCAUUCAUCCACUAAUAGCUUGCAAAAAUAUAAUUUAAAUGGAAAAACAAAAAACAAAUACACUAGUAAUAAGUUGGGAGAUUCAUUAUAAUACCCAAUAUAGGAGUCCAAAUUAUAAAAAAAGCCCUAUAUGAAAUAGACUUUAGAAACACACCAAAAGCUCAUUUACAACAUAACAAAAAGGCUUUUAACUUCUUUUAAAUUACAAUAUUGCCAUUGAUUUCUUAAAACAAACCCAGCCCAAAAACCUCAUAAAAAAGCCCAAAACACUCAAUGGGGCAUCGAAGUAAUUUAAUGAUUAUAAUUAAAUUCAACAGGGUCUGCUGUCAUUUUUUGGGUUUUUUUUGAGUAUGUUUAUAGAAAUUAAAUAGUGUAGGAUUUAUUUAUAGUUUUAGUGCUAAGAAUGAGUAUUUGACUAAAUAUUUCUAAUGAGUUUAUGUAUCUACUAAAACUUAAUUACAUGGAGGCAAUCUAAUGGAUCACUAAUGAUUUUUUAAUCAAAACAACCUAGUUAUAUAUAAUUACUGAAAAAAAUAAUAAUCUCAUUUUUCACGGCCCGAGAAGCGAGCAAAGGUCCUUCAACAAGUUAAACAUGUUUAGAAGGUGUCACCAAGGCACAAAACGGUCCAUAAGCAAACGAACUUUGGCAUCUGAAAGCGUAGAGGAAUCCAAGUCCCUCUGAAUCUGAGCCAUUCUGCUGCUCUCUUUUCUUGCUUCUUUCAACACUUGUCGUUGUUCUUCAACCUCAUCAUCACCUUCUCCUUGCUUGGCCUUUGAUGAAAACACCAUUCGCUUCUUAGCCCCCACCUUGUCUUUCAGCUUUGCCAACUCGCUCAUCCAAACCUCCACCACUGCAGACAUGCUUGAACUUGAAAACUUGAAAUUCUGGCUUGGUCUUGAAUCUUGAGUUUGAUCAAGGAUGAUGAGGAGAGCUGGCUAUUAUGGUUGUUGGUUAUAUAGAAGACAGAGAGAGAGAAAGAGGGCCUUGCCCUUCAUGUGGUUUGGAUUGGAUGAAAAAUCAGUUUGUCACAGACAGCCGUUGGUUAUAGGCUCGCACACAGGAUUAAGUUUUAGGAAUCUUCCUUGGAAAGAGAGAGAGAGAGAGAGAGAGAGAGAGAGACAAGAAAGGGGUAUGAGUUUUGUUGUGUGAAUGAAAAGCUUCCCCGCGGGCGGGCGACUUGGCAUAUCAUCAAUAGUAUUCCAUUGCGAAUCUCUUUCUCCGAAAUACCUAUUCACCUCUUCAUCAUCAUCUUCAGUAAAAGUAGCCAUCUUCAUUAUCUUCACAGCUGAAGUAGUCAGGUUCCGAGUCUUGCUCAUCUUCACAUAGAUCAACACAAUUAUCUCCAUCAAACCUCUCAUUAGCAUCUUCCAAGUUAUCGGAUUCAGACUCACCAUCUUCCGUAAAUAUAGACAGGUCUUCAUCAUCCUGUGUCAUUACCAGGUGGACCCCGAAGCUUUUAAAAUGCAGCGAAUCUUGUGUCAAAUUCUGGAAAUUAACUCGACACGCAAAAGGCGACUGCGGCCAGGUAAUCCGAUCAGCCCGGUAAAACAUUUCUCUGAAUCGAAUAUAGCACAGCCACACAUGACCUGACCCUAUCUUUCUGAAAUGGUAAUCGAACCGAAUAAAAUGAGGUAGCA
Molecule: long non-coding RNA, 48093 nt
Filed under: Prunus persica (peach)
Lineage: Eukaryota; Viridiplantae; Streptophyta; Magnoliopsida; Rosales; Rosaceae
Description: long non-coding RNA (PPER_LNC008340)
Source: RNAcentral